This 44694-nucleotide long non-coding RNA is filed under the name Gossypium barbadense (sea-island cotton). Its description in RNAcentral is "long non-coding RNA (GBAR_LNC016776)". The record is from RNAcentral. Lineage: Eukaryota; Viridiplantae; Streptophyta; Magnoliopsida; Malvales; Malvaceae.
CCAAUCUUUUCUAGAUUUAUGAUAGCCUUGAAGCUGUUGAUGUAUCUCACUGGUAGGGGUCCAGAAAAAUAAUUACUUGAGAGGUCAAAAAUUUGGAUUUUAGAGAAAAAAGGGCUAGACUUGGAGCUAUUGACACGCAAGGAACCAUGCAUAUGAUUUGACUUCAAAACAAGAACUUGCAAAAAUGGAAGACUUCCCAACCAAUGAGGAAAUGUAUCAUUGAUCUUGUUGUUACCAAGAUCUAGCACUUCCAGACCAUUACAAUUAAGGAUGGAUGGUGUCAAAGGCCCUUCUAACAGAUUUCCAUUUAAGUUGAAAUUAGUCAGUUGGCAUCCCUUUGCAAAUGUUAGAGGAAUCGUCCCAUAGAACUCGUUCUUCUUCAGAUUGAAGACUUGAAGGAUGUUGCUCAGAUUUCCAAAACAUUGCGGAAUUGUUCCACUCAAGUAAUUGUGGGACAAAUCAAGAAUUUGAAGAUAAGUGGCAUUGCAUAUUAAAGAAGAGACCUCUCCAUUGAAACUGUUAUUUGAGAUCAAAAAGACAUUGAUGGUCGAAGCUGGAAUCGGAAGAUUUCCACGGAUCAAAUUGGAGCUUAAGUCAAGAAAUUCAAUAUUCUUCCAUGGAAAGUGCUCAACUUCUGUCAAAGAGUUGUGAGAUACGUUUAAGUAAGUCAAAGAGUCAUUCCCCACCUCUUGCAUCCACUGUGGAAUCUUGCCUUCAAUUUUGUUGCAAGAGAGGUCUAACCUUUCCAAACUUUUAAGCCCUUUUAAAAACUGGGGGAAUUCACUAAGAUUGCAAGAUGACAAAAAUAAGCUUCUAAGAUUAACAGUAGAUGUAGUAUUAGAUGUUAAGUAUAGGCUGUUAAAUGAAAGGUCGAGAUAUUUUAGAUUUGGAAGGUUUGAGAACAUACGUAACUCUAUGACACCACUUAGAUUAUUUGAGGAUAAAACGAGCAAGGUAAGAUUGAGAAGUUGGAAUAUUGAAGAUGGAAAAGGACCUUGGAGUUUAUUAUUGUUUAGAUAUAAAUGUUCUAGUGAUUUGGAUUGGAAUUCUUGGAUAUGCCCACUGAAUUGAUUUUGAGAGAGAAUUAUAACCUUUAAGGAGGGAGCAGUAUACAACCAUGACGGAAGUGUUCCAUUGAGUAAAUUGUCAGAUAAGCCUAAAUAUAUUAGAUUAGGAAAAGUGGUUACCUCAUCUGGAAUGGAUCCUUCUAAAGAAUUUUCAGAUAUUCCCAAGUAUUCCAGCUGGGUUAGGUUUAGAAUUGACAAUGGAAUUUGUCCACUCAAUUGGUUCUGCGACAAGUCUAAAUGAGUGAGUUGCAAGAGGUUCCCCAAUGAUAUUGGAAUUUGUCCACUCAAUUGGUUCUGCCACAAGUUUAAAUCAGUGAGUUGCAAGAGGUUCCCCAAUGAUCUUGGAAUUUGUCCACUCAAUUGGUUCUGCCACAAGUCUAAAUCAGUGAGUUGCAAGAGGUUGCCCAAUGAUCUUGGAAUUUGUCCACUCAAUUGGUUCUGCCACAAGCCUAAAUUAGUGAGUUGCAAGAGGUUCCCCAAUGAUCUUGGAAUUUUUUCACUCAAUUGGUUCUGCCACAAGCCUAAAUGAGUGACUUGCAAGAGGUUCCCCAAUGAUCUUGGAAUUUUUCCACUCAAUUGGUUCUGCCACAAACCUAAAUCAGUGAGUUGCAAGAGAUUCCCCAAUGAUCUUGGAAUAUUUCCACUCAAUUGGUUCUGCCACAAGCCUAAAUGAGUGAGUUGCAAGAGGUUCCCCAAUGAUCUGCCACAAGCCUAAAUGAGUGAGUUGCAAGAGUUUCCCCAAUGAUCUUGGAAUUUGUCCACUCAAUUGGUUCUCACACAAGUCUAAAUAAGUGAGUUGCAAGAGGUUCUCCAAUGAUCUUGGAAUUUGUCCACUCAAUAGGUUCUGUGACAAGUCUAAAUAAGCGAGUUGCAAGAGGUUCCCCAGUGAUCUUGGACCCGGUCCUGAUAAGUUGGAAUGGGAGAGAUCUAAAACCUUCAAGGACACAAGAUUCCCCAUCCAGUCAGGCAAUCCUCCAAAAAAAUUUGCGCCUCCAAGAAUCAACUACUCCAAAGAUGAUAAAUUUGUGAAUGAGACAGACAAUCCUUGAAAGAAGGAAUUUCCUGAGAGAUCUAAGUACUUUAAGGCCUGUAGAUUAUCAACUGAAUCAAUGAAUUCUGUAGAGAAGGACACGAACGACAGAUCCAAAUGUUCAAGAUUGCUGCUCCGAUUGAACUUCAAAGGAUCAAGAUUGAGGUUUUGGUUGCCUCCCAAGUUGAGGAGAUUGAGGUUUGGCAAAUCAAAAAUGUUUUUUGGGAAUUUUCCUUGCAAAUCACAAAAAGCAAGACUGAGAGACCUUAGAGAAGAGGAUAGAUUCAUGAAGACAUGAGCAUUAACAGAAGACAUGUCCAUUCCAUCCAAAAACAGAUGUCUGACCUCGGUUAGGUUGUGAACAAGUCCCUCCAGAGCAUGUUUGUCAAUUGUUUGUGCAUCACCCCAACAGGAGAGAUCAAGUGAAACCAAUUUUGACAGGUGGGAGACUUGGGAUGGGACUUCUCCUGCAAACCCUGUAUUGGAAAGGUUGAGGUAGAAUAGGCUUGUAAACCGACCUAAGUCGGAUGGAAUUUUGGAAAGAUUAAAAUCAUUGAAGGCAAGGUUGAGUUUUUGAAGGUGAGGAAGAAGGAAGAGAGUGGUAUUGGAAGGGAAGUUGCCAGAUAGCCAACUGCAGCUCAAGUCAAGGGCAAUAACAUGAGCAUUUAGGUGGUCACAAGUGACCCCAUCCCAUGAGCAGCAAUCUGUACCCUCCUUCCAUGAAUUUGUCUUGGGAUAAGAUUUAGGGCCGCAAGACGAAUAAGCAGCCUCUGUUAUGGAAAAAGAGUUCUUGAACUGGAUUAGUAAAGAGCAGGAGUGAGAUCCUGAAGAAGAAAAAGAAGCAUAAAGAUGGGGAAAGAAGAGGAAUAGGCAGAGAAAGAGACAGGGGGGCAUGUUAUGUUUGUAGAGGAAGAUGAAGGAUAGGAAUGGUAUUUAUAGGCAACAAAUAAUACAACAACAUUGGUGUUACAGUCUUUUUUAUUUUCUCGAGUUCUAUGAGUUUGUUUAAAUUCGCCGUGAAUACUCGAUUUUUUUUUACGUUUUUGAUUCAAAUACCGCUAAAAACAUUAAUCGGUUGCCAUUAAAUAUGUCAUUUUCUAUUAGCUGCAAGAAAACUAUCCGAUAAACUGCAUCUUCUUCUUUAGAUGAAAUUUUGUAAAAAAAAUUUGACAUUAUCUCUUAUAUGGUCCUUCAAUUUUAUUUAAAAAAUGAUUUUAACUCUCCAUUUAAUUUUUCAAACAAAUUAACGCAACAUUUUAGUUAUUGUCUACUGUCCAAUAAUGCCAUGUGUAUCAGUACAAACAUUCCCAUUUCUUUUUUUUUUUUUUCAUUUUCCCAAAAACUCAUUUCACUCUUAGCUUUAUAAAGAAAAAAAAAGUUAUUUUAGCCCUUAAUUUAAUUUUUCAUCUUCUUUAACCCUUAAACUUAUAUUGUUUAUCAAAUAACCCUUAAACUUGCAUUGUUUAUCAGAUGAAAAAAUUAAUAUCUAUUAACUUUGCUAACGUGCAUACAUAUGCAACCUCAUUUAAAUCUAAAAAAUAUAAAAAUAAUUAAAUAUGUAUAAAUCUAAAAAUAUCUUAAAAUUAAAACUAAAAUUUUUUAAACUAAUACAAAUUUUUAUUAUUUAAAAAAUCUUAAAAUUUUCAAAUUAAAUUCCAUUUGUUUUCCACCAUUGAAGAACACCUUCAAUCACAUCAACAACUUCAUACUAUUUUGCCUAGAAAUUGUUUUGCAAAUUUAUUUUGUUUAUUUAUUUCUAAACCCAUAUUUCUUUUCUAUAACCCCAAUGGUAGCAAAGGAAAUGUAAAAAAAAAAAAACUUAAAAAUCAAAUUUUUAAUGAUGAAGGGAAUUGAUUUAUAUUAAAACCAAGGAUUACACUGAAAAUACAAAGAGUUGAAGGUACUAAACAAGCAAAUAAACCCUAGCUACAGUGAUAAUUAACUUAACUAUCUACUAUUGGAACCAAGAAAAACUAAAAGAAAACAUGAAUUAAACCCUAGAGUUAUGAAGAAGAAAACAAAAACUCUAAAAAUAAAGAGAAAAAUUGAAAACCGUGAAAUGUUAAGUGUGCCCUUUGUUCAGCCAAUUUUUUGCCCUUUCUAGCAAAUUACAGAUCCAAAAAUAGUGACCAAAUUGUCUUUGAUGGUCUAAUUUUGGUUAGGGGGAAAAGGAUUACCCCUACGGUUAUUUUUUUGUCUCCUCCCAUCAAUGAUAUUGCGAUACCCAAAGUUUGGUAUCGCGAUAUCCACGACAGUCUUGAGGAUCCUUGGGAGUUUUGGGUAUCGCGAUACCUUAUGACCGUUAUCACGAUAACACUGUUGAUAUGCGGUACCCUCUUUCUAGGUGACAUUUUCGAUCCUUCUGAGCCACCAUGGGAUCUCUGCAUCACUCAUCAACCUCAUCAGAUUCCUCGGAUGCCAUUUGGCCAUCUCAGAUCUCAAAAUAGUAUCAAAAUGGACACUAAUCAUUUAUUAGUAUAAAGAACUAAAACUAAAUAAAAAAACGACAAAGAUAUCUAAAUUGCUUGAAAAUAAGUUUUUAAGUGUGAUGGAGAGCCUAAUUUGACAUAUCAAUUUACAACAGAUUAUAAACAUAAUUUGCGGAACCUUGUUAAAAUUUUGAUUUUCUUUAUUAGUUUCUUUCAAUAUUCUGUACGGUACAUUUGUAGUAAUAUAUUGUGCAGAUCAUAGACUACAUUGCUUUAUUAGUGUUCUAUUGUUAAUCUAUUAUUAUUAUUAUUAUUAUUAUUAUUAGCACCACUUCCUUUUUACCAUAUAAUUUUUAUUCAUAAAAAUGAAGAGUUGAUUUACUAAAGAAAGAAGAAGAAUUGAUGAGAUUAUAAAGUAUAUUGACUUGGUCUUGCUUCCUUUAUAUGUAUGAAUGUGGAAAUCGGCAUAAUGCCAACUUAUUUUCCACGCAGAGGAAGAAAAUGGUGCUCUCUUGUCACUCCCUUUAACUUGACAAAAUACAAGACAUGUGAUCCACCAAUGAAUGUUUGACUAUCUCCAUCUCACUUUUUAUUAAUCAAGGAAUAUAAACUUACUAUUUCAACAUUUCAUAAGCAAAAGCUAAAAUAAUAUUGGUCACAUCCCAUAUCUUCAUAAGACAAAAGUUAAAACAGCCUUCAGUUCAUCUACAUUCUACAUUCAUAUCAAUUGCACACAAAGUCAUAUCUGCAAGCAUCAAAUAUUAACCUUUCAACUCCAUAAUAACAACACCAAUUUCUAACAAUUGCAGAAGAAUGUCCAAUCAUUCCACACAAAUUAACAACAAUUUGUAGCAUCCACUACAUUCAUAUCAAUUCCACACAAAUUAAGACUGCAAUUUCUAACUUGUUUAUACCCUCAAUGAAGCUACCUAAAAGAUAUGAAUUUUUUAAUAUUAUAAAGUUAAGUGACCAAAACAUAAAUUUUCUACUAGAUUAGUACUUGAGGUGUAGUUUACCUUAUAAUAAAUAACUAUAAUAAAUUUGUGAAUCAAUUGCAUAAUUAAAUUAAGAUUUUCAAGCCUUUUACCAAACCAAACUUGAAAGGAGAAAAAGAAUCAUGAAAGAAUCCAGUUUUAAAAGCCUUUCACUUUUCCCAAGUCCAAUACACAAAUUCACAAGAUCCCACACUCUCAUUUAUCCUCUUCAAAAAGCAAGGUCCACAACAAAAGAUUAAUUUAGAUAUUAAUUAUUUUAUUUUAAUGGGAUAUAAUUUGAUAUUUUGUUUUUAUUUUAAUUAAGUGUGUUUAAAUUAGUGAUAUUUGUUAUAAUAAUUAAGUUAUACAUUCGGGAAGGUUGAUAAUAAUGUUCACACCAUAGAUGUUGUGAAGAGCCACUAAAAGUGACAAUUUAUCUAUGCUAAAAAGGUGUUUGAAUAGAGUAAUAUUGGACAAUGUCCUACCUCAAGACCCAAAAGGGAUGCCAAUUUAAGACCCAAGGAAGCCUUCGACUUAUCUCACUUGUGUAAGGAGCUAGAGUUAUCUCUUUACUAUUAACAACAUAAUUAAUCAUAUUCUAUAAUUCACCUUUAAGGUGUCUUAUUCACUUGUUUAGGUCAACUAUACCAAAUUCAGCAUUUUAUUUCGCCAAACCAAAAUUGUCAUUUGCCAUAUAGGGAUCGCCAAGCCUAUAAAAGCCAAAAUCUUUUCAAAGAUUUGCCUCGUUUAGCUCGAUUCUUCAAUUUAUCUUCUCAAUCUCAAUUAUUAACGUUUGUCUCUCUAACUUGCCUCCUCAAAUUUAAUCAUUAAAACUAAAUGCAUUACGUGCUCACCAUACUACAAGAACAUAAACUUAUUUAUUUCAAGAGGAUCACUUUAUAAAUUUCCAUCAAUUAGGGAAAAAUUAUUAUACCUCUAUAAGUAUAUUUUAAAAUAUGGCGAUAUUUCAAGAUAGCACCUAUCACAUUUCAAUAAAACUCAUUAUAUAUCUACCACCAUCAUAAUUAAGUAAUAGAGCAUCAUUCUAUAUGGACACACAUCAAGCUCAUUUCCUUUUAUGUUAAUUAUUCACGUAAUUCUAAUUUUCAAUUAUUUCCUUAAAUAUUAAAAAUAACUACUCUGUUAAUGCCAUGUAGCUAUUUUGAUUAAUGAUUUCCAUUUAAUUUGUUUUCCUCCUGACUUGGAAAUGUGGACUUGACAACAAAAUGAAAUUUGAGCAUGACACCUUAAUUUUGUGGUUGGUUUGACGAAUACUGAAGGUUGGUCAUCUUGAAACAUAUAUAAAAUUAAAUGAUUGAAUUAUUGAAAUUAUUAAAUAAAAUAAUUAUGAAAUUAGAAUUUAAGGUUAGAGGUUAUUUUUAGAAUUUUAAAUUUUCUUUUACUGCUAACUUGUAAAAAAAUUAUGAAAAUACAACAGAGAUCAUUGACACAUUUUGUUCUCCUUUCUCCUUUACUGAGCAGUAGCAAAGAUUAUCGAGACUAAAUUGAAAGUCAUGAAAGAAGACAUAAACAACACCACCAUACAAAAUGUUACAUUCAAACAAACCAUUACAGAUAGCACGAAAUGCAAUGAAAGGCAGAGGAAUUGGUACGAUAAUAAAGACAGACACGUACCAAUGCAACCCUUCACCAUAGGCAAAACGGUCUACAGAACAAUAAAUUAUGAAAAUACAACACUAAUUCUUCAACAUCAUUUGCUGUAAUUAGAUCCUUCUUCGUCUAUUGCUCCGAUUGCCUUUCUUUGACUUUCUUCUUCGCCUCUUCUCUUGUUGGUUUUCAACCAAAUUCACCAACCAUUUCGGCUUACCAGUUUGGAAAACAACAUAUCCCACCGACAUUCCGAACACCACUCCGCAUCCAUAACCUAUCAACACCACUUUCUAACCAAAAUCAAUGUUUGAUUUUGAGCCAUCUGUUUCAAGCACAUUUGGAGGUGCUGGCUCAAUGAUGUUGCAACCUUUCGAGACCGGAAACCCACAUAGUCCCUUAUUCACUUCAUAUGAAUCAUUUCCAAAUGUGUUGAAUUGUUUUCCUUGAGGAAUCUGACCAUGGAGUUGAUUUUCAGAAACAUUGAAGGACGAAAGAUACUGCAGAUCUGCCAAUCCAUUUGGAAUCGUCCCAGACAACCUGUUUGAAGAUAGGUCCAACCAUUCACAACUGGAUUAGUGAAGAGCAGGAGUACUGAGAUCCUGAAGAAGCAUAAAGAUGGGGAAAGAAGAGGAAUAGGCAGAGGAAGAGAUAGGGGGCCAUGUUAUGUUUGUGGAGGAAGAUGAAGGAUAGGAAUGGUAUUUAUAGGCAACAAAUAAUACCACAGUGUUACAGUCUUUUUUUCUUUUACGUUGAGAAGCUAUAGACAUUAGAUUUUCAAAAUUUUUGUAUUUUUCACAAUCAUCAACAACGACUUAGUCUUCUUUUUACCAUAUAUUUUUCAUUCUUAAAAUUGGAUAUUAGAUUUUCAAAAUAUUUGUAUUUUUCACAAUCAUCAGCAAAAUCUUGUAUUUCGUUUGAACUGUCUAAACAACUAAAAAAAUUAAGAUUGAUGAGAGUACAAAGUAGAUUGACUUAGUCUUUUUUCUCAUAACCCUUAAAGAAUGUGUGUAUCUAUUCACUUGCAGGUCAACCAAAGCUAAUUAAUGUGGAAAUUCUUUUUCACAACAAAAUUGUACUCUAUUCACUACGUUUGAGGAAGAAGACUGUUGGAAAUUUAAUCCACCGAUUCCAUAAAAACGUGUAUACUUAUAUAUAUAUAUAUAUAUAUGUAUAACCUCAUAUAAAAUCUGAUAAAUUUAUUUGGGAAUAGUUAUUUUUCAUUCGUUAAUUAUUUCUCUUUUAAUCAAGUAAAAAAAUUAAAACUAAAAAGACAUUAUGAUUUAUUUGGCAUUUUUUAACUUCACAAAUAAAACGUCAUUUUAACUUUCUAUUCUUUUUUUUAUCUCUUUUAGCCUUGAAACUUAUAUGGUUCGUUAAAUCACUCAUUGAUGACAUAUUAACCUUUGAGUUAAACUCAAAUUGCUCUUCUCUUUGUUAUAAAUUAAGAGUAUAACUAAUUUUGAUAAAAAUGGUUACUUUUCAUUAACUUAGUUUAAAGGACUAUAACACGUAAAGUUUGGUCUAUUGCAGAAUUCACAUGUAAUGUGGGACAUUUUUUAACUUUACAAACAAAAAGUCAUUUGCGCCACAAUGUACAAUACUUCCACACCAUCUGCAGUAUUGCUACGUUUACUUGAGGGAAAACAAAGACAUGAAUGCUGGAAAUUUUAACUAGUUUGUACCGUCAAUAAAGCUACCUACCUAAAAGCCAUUUAGGAUAUCAAUUCCUGUAAUUGGAUUAAUCUCAUCGUUGCUGCAAUCUUUUGACAGUGUAAUCCAAUCUUAAAUAUGUUACUCUGCAGUGCUAUCGUAAAUAUUACUCUUAAAAUUGUGGAUAGAUAUAUAGGUUUGGCACAAAAUUAAGAAUACACAAAGGCAGGAUGAAUCAUUCCAUGUUUGAACAUCUGCAACAUAAAUGCAUAUGGCAAAAGGGCUCAAACCAUACCUUAUGUUCAUGAUGUUAACAUUAAUGGGAGACAACAUUAAUGGCAAACAAUACAAAGUGGUGCAAGUUUAGCACCCUAAAGUUGACUUUGAAAAAGUGGCAUGGGAUAAAUUUUUUUGGUCCUUGAGAUAAUGGGCUAUUUAUUGUUUGGUCCUUAAACUUCAACUAUAAAUAGGCCUUCUCAUUUCUCAUUUCAAUUCAUCCCAACCAAUCUUUCUCUCUUAGUUUUCUCUCUUCUCCCAUUUGAGAAUUCUUAAGGAAUUCAAUUUGUUUGUAAUACUUUGGAGAUAGUAAAGUUAUCAUCUGGUGUUAGUGCCCGAGGACGUAGGUAUAAUUUACCGAACCUCGUUAAAACUCUUGUGUUCUUUCUUGUCCUAUUUUUCUUUCAAUAUUUGAGGGUAUAAUAGUAGUAUUUAAUUGUGCUAUUAAAUUACUAUAGAAGGGAUAUUCUGUCUAAGGAAAGACUUGGUAUUUAAGAGAUCCAUGUGAUCCACCUCUCUUCCCUGGGAAUUGAACUUUGUGUGAUUUUUUAGUACAAUAAUUUACACGCUUCCGACCCUAUUGGAACAAUACAUGAAUUCUCAUCAUCACGUGUUUAUAAAUGCAACUCAAACUUCAAUAAUUGAAUCUUUUGUAAUUCUACAUGUAUUUUUUUUUAUGGUGAGCAGUAUAAUAUUUACUAAAAAUUGAAAUUCAAGAAAGAAGCCAUACAUAGUUGCACCAUACAAGAUGUUACACUCGAACUAAACCCUUACAAAUAGUACAAAAUGCAAUGAAAUACAGAGGAAUUGGUACAAUCAUAAAGACAGACACAUACCAAUGCAACUUUUCACCAUAGGAAAAACUUUCUGACAGACUACUAAACAAGAAAUUAUGAAGACACAGCAGAAAGGCUUUAACUUCAUUUGCACCAACUAUAUCCUUCUUCAUCCAUUGAUGCGAUUGCUAUAUUUUGGUUUUCUUCUUCGCCUCUUCUCAUGUUGGUCUUCAACCAAAUUCACAAUCCUUUUCGCUUCUUCUGAGCCACCAUGGGCUCUCUGCAUCACUCACCAACCUCAUCAGAUUCGCCGGGUGCCAUUUGGCCAUCUCAGGUCUCAAAAUAGUAUCAAAAUGCACACUAAUCAUUUAUUAAUAUAAAGAACAAAAACUAAAUAAAAAAACAACAAAGAUAUCUAAAUUGCUUGAAAAUAAGCUUUUAAGUGUGAUGGAGAGCCUCAUUUAACAUAUCAAUUUAUAGUAGAUCAUAAACAUAAUUUGCGGAACAUUGUUAAAAUUUCGAAUUUCUUUAUUAGUUUUCUUUCAAUAUUCUGUAUGGUACAUUUGUAGUAAUAUAUUGUGCUGAUCAUAGACUACAUUGCUUUAUUAAUGUUCUAUUGUUAAUCUUUUAUUAUUAUUAUUAUUAUUAUUAACACCACUUCCAUUUUAUCAUAUAAUUUUUUUUCAUAAAAAUGAAGAGUUGAUUUACCAAAAAAUUGUAUUUCAUUUGAACUCCCUAAAGAAAGAAGAAGUGAUGAGAUUAGAAAGUAUAUUGACUAGGUCUUGCUUCCUUUAUAUGUAUGAAUGUGGAAUUUGGCAUAAUGCCAACUUAUUUUCCACGCAGAAGAAAAUGGUGCUCCAUCCACUCUGUUUAACUUGACAAAAUACAAGACAUGUGAUCCACCAAUGAAUGUUUGACUAUCUCCAUCUCACUUUUUAUUAAUCAAGGAAUAAAAACUUAACAUUUCAACAUUUCAUAAGCAAAAGCUAAAAUAUUGACCUUUGAACUCCAUAAUAACAUAAGUUAAAACAAAAGUUAAAACAGCCUUCAGUUCAUCUACAUUCCACAUCAAAUCUGCAAGCAUCAAAUAUUGACCUUUGAACUCCAUAAUAACAACACCAAUUUCUAACAAUUCCAGAAGAAUGUCCAGUAACUCCACACAAAUUAACAACAAUUUGCAGCAUCCACUACAUUCAUAUCAAUUCCACACAAAUUAAGACUGCUUGUUUAUAAAGCUACCUACUGCAAAUUUUGUAUUGCUUGCAAUGAAUUGACCGUCAUUUUCUAUUACUUGCCACAAAAUUGGAAUUCUGAUAAGUUUAAUUUGGAAUAUGAUCAAUUUUGGUUAAAUUGGAGUGAAUAUUACUAUUUCUGUUUUAGCAAUUAAAGCAACCUAUAUGUACCCUUUUACACUCUGCAUUGUUCCAUGUUUCAAUUCAUUACAUCAUUCCUUCAACUCUGCUAUAUAUUAUCACCGUCUCCACAUAACCAAACCUUUUACUGCUAACUUGUAAAAAAAUUAUGAAAAUACUGUCGAAACCAUUUUUUUAUUUGAAAAAUGAGAGUCGACUUUAAGAAACAAAAAUGAGAGUCGCUACCAAUCUUUUUUGAGGUGUGAUCAUAUGCGCAAGAAAAUUUGCUCUCACUUACUCUCGAAAUUUACAGUAGGGGCUUAGGCUACCAAUAAAUUCUCAAUUAGAUAAUGAAUCAUCUACGAGCAACGAUUCCAAACCACAAUGAAUUGAGAGCUCAAACUAGCUCUUCCUCUAACUCAUAGAAGGCUCUAAUGAAUCCGAGGCUUCACACAUGACAAUCACACAAUACUCACAAUCAAAUGACAGCCAAGGACCCACUUAAACUAACCAAAACACAAGCCUAAGCUACCUUCUCAUGUAACCAAACCCUUUAGCAUGAUGAAAUUAAAAUGCAAAUAUAUUGAUCUACACUUAACAUUUUCACAAGAAACAAGUUUCAUUCAUCGCCAUAUUCAUCUAUAACUAAACUCCAACCUUUAAACCACACAAAACUAUACAUUUCAAGGUAUCGACAUUUUUCGACAAGUUUUGGCUAUAAUAAUGAAAAUUCAUUAAAACACGAGAAAUCUUUAAUAGAACUUAGAAGUAAUUUUAGAAACCUUCUAAUCAAGUUAAAACAAGUUGAAAAACACUUUUAAAUCACAUUUUUAUCCACAAUCUCAAAUUCCACUAUUAAUGACCCAAUUUUUGGGUUUUAAUUAAAACAUGUCAAUUUUAAAAUCUAAAUAACAUUAAAAAUUAAUGGUAAAGUAAAUGGUUACUUUUGAUGGGAGAUUAAUUGAGUUUUGACGUAAAUUUGAAAAACGAAGAAGAUGAUGAAAUCUAUGGCAUUUUUGAGUGUUUUUCUUAGAGAUUUAUGAAGGUAAUUGACUUGGGAGUUAUAAGAAAUCAAAGUAUUAUUGUUUGGGAAUAAAAUAAAUAAAUUGAAAGAUGAAGGGAAUAGCAAAGGACGGCAAUAGCAAACUUUGGAGAGUAACCAUCGUGAAAUAGAACUGGGAUUGGGGUUUAUUAGGUUCAAUUUUAAAAAUUGGUAAAACUGCAAUAUAAGUGCUCACUAUUUUAACUUUGUUACAAAUUAUUCCUUUUUUUCUAAAAUUUAGAAAUUUAAAACUCAUUUUCAGAAAUUGACUCCAUUCCCUAAUAGCCAUUGUAGAAAACAUUAUCAAAUACUAACCUUAAGAAAUUUGAGCGCAUAUAGGCUAAAAUUCCUAAAAUACACUCGAAAUUCUUAGACCCUAUUUUGGAGUGUUACACACAUGGUCAUGAUUCAUGUUGAAUUAAUCCAUCAUUCACCGUAAUAAGACUUGUCAUUGUAAUAAUUUAUUUUGAUACGUAUUAUUUUAUGAUGCAUAAACAUCAUAAAAUUUUCUAUUAUGCAAUAAUAGAAUUAGUUAAAUCAUCUAAUAUCUAAAAAAUUAUUAUUAUUUUAAUAAAAUCAUUCAUCAAAUUCCUGUUUUCAAAUUUCAUACAUGAAAUUAACAAAUAAAGAUAGCUCUAAAUAGCAAAACAUGGUAGGAUGGUUUUGUUGUGCAAACUUAGGAUUUCAAUUCUCAUCAAGGAACUUGCAAGCCUAUUAUAGUAGAAAUGUUCUAUCCAAAUGAUAAAGAUGUUGAUGCAACAUUUUAGAUUGCAAAUUCCUUGAUCACAUUUGGAAUCCUAAGCACAGGGACUUGCAAGCCUCUUAGCUCCAGGAACUUUAGAUUGUACCUGUUCAAAACAUUUUUCAAAGAAGGAACCAUAGGCGUCUAUUCUGGUUCAUCUCAUUGAAUACAUCAAAUGGAGGAUCAAUACGCUGAAAAAGGGACAACGGAAAGAACUUUAGCCAAUAACUUGAAUUUUAUAACUACUCCUAUGCCAACCAGCAAACCAUAACAACACAAAUGUUUGUUCUGUUAAGGAACAAUACACAGACAUAUUCACCUACCCUUGGUGCUGACAGAAUAUGCCCAUUCACUUGGGUGAAAUUAGAGUUGAUAUUAACCCCACAAGAUUUCUGCACCAUAAUUACUGCUAAGUAAAACCUGCACAUCAAUUUUCAUUCUUCACUAGAAACUGAAUCUAUUUUUGUAAGUAAAAAUUAGUUGUAUUCAUUGUUCACAUAAUUGAUCUUUUGUUGUGGAAGUAUUGUAUUUCCGGUAAUCCAUUAAGUAUUCAGUGUUUGAUGCAAUAGAUUUGUAUUUUAUUAUUUUAUUUUGUGGAAGGAUCCUUUAUCUAUUUUGUUUUUUACAUUUCUGAUAAGUUUACAUUUUUCAGUAAUUAACUUAUGUUGUUUUUGCCAAACUUUGUAGCGUUUCACUUUUGGUAAAAUUUCAUCCUUGGUCCCUUUAAACUCCUUUUUGCUUUAAUUUGAUUGCUUUCUAGCGUUGCAAAUUACAUGACACUCUUCAAAUGUCUUACUAAAUUCUCACUUCUACGAGUGCUAUGAUAAUCAAAUAAAGUUCAAUUCAAUUUUAAGUUCCAUACAACACUUACAAGGCUACAAAAUGUGUCCUCAACCACAAACAAUCCAAAUUUGCAGAGAAACCACCCAUUAUAUAUAGGUUUGCCAAUGAGAUGGCAAGCAGACUGCUAGCUAGAAAUUCAUGCAUCUUUGAAUCACCAAUUCAAUUAAUAAGCUUAACUAGAGGAAAUAAGGACUUUACAUCCACCAAUUAAAGCAACCUAUAUGUACCCUUUUACAGUCUUCAUUGUUCCAUAUUUCAAUUCAUUACAUCAUUCCUUCAAUUCUGCUAUAUAUUAUUACCGUCUCCAGAUAACCAAACCUUUUACUGCGAACUUGUAAAAUAAUUAUGAAAAUACAACAGAGAUCAUUGAGACAUUGUUGAAGCUGGCUUGGAUGAAUGCCAAGCUGUCCGAGCCAUGCAAGUCGCGGCUGAAGCUUAUGCUGCUGUUUUGCUACUUUCAAAUAGAUAUUUUAUUACUUAGUUAGAUAUGAACUAAGUUUUUGAUAUGCUUGAUGUACUUAGGUGCUGAUAGAUUGAUAAAUCAGCUUUACCAAGUGUACAAGCAAUGUUUAUAAAAGAAUAAUAUUACAUAACUAAACUAAAUAACUAAAUUAAAUAAUAUUAUAAAGUUAAGAGACCAAAACAUAAAUUUUCUAAUAGAUUAGUACUUGAGGUGUAGUUUACCUUAUAAUAAAUAACUAAACUAAAUUUGUGAAUCAAUUGCAUAAUUAAAUUAAGAUUUUCAAGCCUUUUGUGAUUGGUAUUGGACCAAACCAAACUUGAAAGGAGAAAAAGAUUCAUGAAACAAUCCACUUUUAAAAGCCUUUCACUUUUCCCAAGUCCAAUACACAAAUUCACAAGAUCCCACGCUUUCAUUUAUCCUCUUCAGAAAGCAAGGUCCACAACAAGAGAUUAAUUUAGAUAUUAAUUAUUUUAUUUUAAUGGGAUAUAAUUUGAUAUUUUGUUUUUAUUUUAACUAAGUGAGUUUAAAUUAAUGAUAUUUGUUAUAAUAAUUAAGUUACACAUUCGGGAAGGUUGAUAAUAAUGUUCACACCAUAGAUGUUGUGAAGAGCCACUAAAAGUGACAAUUUAUCUAUGCUGAAAAGGUGUUUGAAUAGGAGUAUUGGACAACGUCCUACCUCAAGACUCAAAAGGGAUGCCAAUUUAAGAUCCAAGGAAGCCUUUGACUUAUCUCACUUGUGUAAGGAGCUACAGUUAUCUCUUUACUAUUAACAACAUAAUCAUAUUCUAUAAUUCACCUUUAAGGUGUCUUAUUCACUUGCUUAGGUCAACUAUACCAAAUUCACCUUUAAAGCAUUUUAUUUCGCCAAACCAAAAUUGUCAUUUGCCAUAUAGGGAUCGCCAAGCCUGCAAAAGCCAAAAUCUUUUCAAAGAUUUGCCUCGUUUAGCUUGAUUCUUCAAUUUAUCUUCUCAAUCUCAAUUAUUAACGUUGUCUCUCCAACUUGCCUCCUCAAAUUUAAUCAUCAAACGUGCAUUACGUGCUCACCAUACUACAAGAACAUAAACUUAUUUAUUUUCAAGAGGAUCACUUUAUAAAUUUUCAUCAAUUAGGGAAAAAUUAUUAUACCUCUAUAACUAUAUUUUAAAAUAUGGCGAUAUUUCAAGAUACCACCUAUCACAUUUCAAUAAAACUCGUUAUAUUUCUACCACCAUCAUAAUUAAGUAAUAGGGCAUCAUUCUAUAUGGACACACAUUAAGCUCAUUUCCUUUUAUGUAAAGUCCUCUACAUAACUUAAAAGGGAUGGAAAACAUAGAGCAAAACUCUAUAUAUCCAUUCUCUCCUAAAGCUUUCAACUCACUCUUAACAAUACUACCACUACCAUGUGAAUCACCCUUAACUGUUAACCUUUUAAAAAUAACUACUCUGUUAAUGCCAUGUAGCUAUUUUGAUUAAUGAUUUCGUUUAAUUUGUUUUCCUCCUGACUUGGAAAUGUCGACUUGACAACAAAAUGAAAUUUGCGCAUGACACCUUAAUUUUGUGGUUGGUUUUGUUGGAAUAUUUUCAAAUAUUUAUAGUAUCCCAAUAACUAUAAAUGAAUGGGUGUAAUUAAUCAAAAGAUAAAACUUUUGGUCAUUGGUCAAAAGUUAUAUCAUUUGAUUUUUUAAAAAAGAAUUAUAACUAUUCAAAAAAUAUUAUUUGAAUAGUUACAAAAUUAAAUGAAUAAUUAUUAUUAUUUAUUUAUUCAUAAAGACACCUAUUGAAAGAUGUCUCUAUGAAGAGACAUGAAAAUUCCUAUAAAUAGGAAUAGGAUUUCAUUUGGAAAUCAUAUCAACAAAUUCUAAUAUUAUUUCUUCUCUUCCUUCAUUUUCUAAUAUUAUUAGAUUAUUCUAUAAAGUAUUGCUGCAGAAAUCCUUUGUAGAAAUUGAGUUUUUGUUAUACAUUACUCAGUGCAUAGUGGACUAUUCUCGUCAGUGCAAAACGCAAAUAGUCAUUGGCUUCAUUGUAUCCUCGAGGUUAAUUUGCUUGGAACUCGUUUGCACACUGAAGAUAAGUGGAGGCGAAUAUAACCUUAAAGAUAGUGGCUUGAUACACGCCUUGGAGCCUGUCCUAUUUCUUCUUUUUCUUUUCGAGUUCCGAUCGUGUGUUCAAGUUUUUUUCUUACCGGAGUUUUGUACUAACAAUUUUAAGGUUAUAUUUCAUGAUGACUACCACAACACAUGAAAGUGGAACACUAAGGGAGUUGGCUUCCAACUUUGUUAAACUUGAUCGUUUUGAUGGUGGCAAUUUUCGACGAUGGCAGAAAAAGAUGCACUUUUUGUUAUCAACUUUGAAUAUUGCUUAUGUUUUGGAUACUCCAAGACCUGAAGAGAAUGAAAAUGAAUCUGUUGCUGCAACCCGAGAAAGACAAAAAUGGGACAAUGCUGAUUACAUGUGCAUGGGCCACAUAUUGAAUGGUUUAUCUGAUGGUUUGUUCGACACCUACCAAAACGACGUCACCGCUAAAGAAUUAUGGGACAAAUUGGAGGCAAGAUACAUGACCGAAGAUGUUACAAGUAAGAAAUUUCUUGUCAGUCGUUUCAAUAAUUAUCAAAUGGUUGAUGGUCGUUCUGUUAUGGAACAAUUUCGUGAUAUUGAAAAGAUGCUGAAUCAAUUUAAGCAAUAUGAUAUGAAAAUGGAUGAAAUGAUUGUGGUAUCCUCCAUAAUAGACAAACUUCCUCCAUCUUGGAAAGACUUUAAAAGAAGUCUAAAACAUAAGAAAGAGGAAAUAUCUCUUGAGGCUUUGGCAAAUCAUCUUCGUAUUGAAGAAGAGUAUCAAAAACAAGAUCAGAACCUAAAUUCUAAAAAUGCCGAAGUACAUGUUAUGGAGGAAGUACAGACUACUAAACCAUUCAAGAGAAAGUUCAAUCAGACUGAUAGAGCACCUAAGUUCAAAAAGAAACAAAAGGGCUCAUGCUAUCAUUGUGGAAAGCCGGGACAUUUCAAGAAUGAAUGUCGAUUUUUAAAGAAGAAAUCAUCUUCUAAGGCUGAUAAUAACGAAAAGUUCGUUGCAAUGAUAUCUGAAAUUAAUAUGGCACAAGAUGAUAAUACAUGGUGGAUUGAUACCGGAGCAACCAAACAUGUGUGCAAAGACAAAAGCAUGUUCACAAAGUUCACACAAUGUGAAAAUGACAAUGUCUUGUACAUGGGAAAUUCUUCCACCGCAACAAUUAAAGGCAAAGGGUCUGUUGAACUACAAUUCACUUCUGGAAAGGUUUUAACCUUAAAUGAUGUAUAUUAUGUACCAAAAGUUAGGAAAAAUUUAGUGUCUGGAAGUCUGUUGAAUAAGUUUGGUUUCAAACUUGUUUUUGAGGCAGAUAAGUUUAUUUUGUCUAAGGGAGGAAUUUUUGUGGGAAAAUGGUAUAUGUAUGAAAGCAUGUUCAAACUUAAUAUUAUUAAUAAGAAUAAAAAUACUAUUUCUGCUUAUAUGGUUGAAUCAUUUUGUUUGUGGCAUUAUAGAUUAGGUCAUUUGAAUUAUAGAAAAUUGAAUGACAUGUAUAAAUUAGAUUUAAUUCCUGUUUUUAAUAAUAAUAUUGAAAAAUGCAAUACCUGUAUGUUGACUAAAAUUACAAGAAAUCAUUUCCCUAAGGUUAAAAGGAAAACAAAAUUGCUUGAUUUGAUACAUAGUGAUUUAUGUGACUUGCAUAAUACUCCUACAUUAGGUGGAAAGAAAUAUUUUGUUACUUUUAUUGAUGAUUGUUCUAGAUAUUGUUAUGUAUAUUUAUUGCAUUCAAAAGAUGAAGCGCUUGAUAAAUUUAAAGUUUAUAAAUCUGAAGUUGAACUUCAGUGUGAAUCAUUUAUCAAGUGCUUAAGAUCGGAUAGAGGUGGAGAAUACUAUAAUCCAAGUUAUUUUGAACUCACUAGAAUUGUCCAUCAAGUUUCAGCCCCUUACACACCACAACAAAAUGGUGUAGUUGAAAGGAAAAAUAGAGUCUUGAUUGAAAUGGUAAAUUCAAUGUUAUCAUAUUCAGGUCUUGGACAGGGUUUUUGGGGAGAAGCUGUUCUAACAGCUUGUCAUAUAUUGAAUAGAGUUCCUAAUAAAGAAACUAAAAUAACCCCCUAUGAACAAUGGAAGAAAAGGAAACCAAACUUUAAUUAUUUAAAGGUUUGGGGUUGUAGAGCUUGGGGUUGUAGAGCUAUUGUAAAAGUUCCAACACCUAAACGUAAAAAGUUAGGUGAAAGAGGAAUUGAAUGCAUAUUUAUAGGUUAUGCACAUAAUAGCAAGGCAUAUAGGUUCAUAGUAAUUGAACCAAAUGAUUCAAUUUCAAUUAAUACGGUUAUUGAAUCAAGAGAUGCUAUUUUUGAUGAAAAUAGAUUUAAUUCUAUAUCAAGACAAUUACAACCACAACAAUUGAUUCAUUCUUCAAAUGAGAAUGAGAUUCCAUUGAAACAAAUUGAUAAUAAUGAUGAAUCUUGUCAAGAAUUAAGAAGAAGUAAUAGGAUUAAAAAGGUCAAAGAUUUUGGACCAGAUUUCAUUAUGUUUCUUGUAGAAGGAAAAGGUGAAAGUAUAUGCAAUAAGAUACCUUAUUGUUAUAAUACCGAAUCUGAUCCUAUUACAUUUGAAGAAGCAGUGAAAUCUCAAGACUCUGCUUUUUGGAAAGAAGCAAUAAAUGAUGAAAUGGAUUCAAUAAUGGGAAAUCAAACUUGGAUCUUAGUUGAUCAUCCACCAGGUUCCAAACCAAUAGGUUGUAAAUGGAUCUUCAAAAAGAAAAUGAAGGUCGAUGGAACCAUUGAUAAAUUUAAAGCAAGGUUGGUAGCAAAAGGUUUUACACAAAGACAAGGUAUUGAUUCCUUUGAUACCUAUGCUCCAGUAGCAAGAAUUGCUACAAUUAGACUAUUAAUAUCACUUACCUCUAUAUAUAAUUUGGUUGUUCACCAAAUGGAUGUUAAAACUGCAUUUUUAAAUGGUGAAUUGGAAGAGGAAGUGUACAUGGAGCAACCGGAAGGAUUUGUUGUUCCAGGACAAGAGCAUAAGGUAUGUAAGCUUGUUAAAUCUUUAUAUGGGCUUAAACAAGCACCAAAACAAUGGCACCAAAAGUUUGACAAGGUUGUUUUAGCUAAUGGCUAUAAAAUAAAUGAAUCCGAUAAGUGCAUAUAUAGUAAAUUUGAUAAUGGAAAGGGUGUUAUAAUUUGCUUAUAUGUAGAUGACAUGCUCAUUUUUGGCACGGAUUUGGAAUAAAUAGAAAACACAAAGAAAUUCUUGUCAAACAACUUUGCUAUGAAGGAUAUGGGUGUAGCAGAUGUUAUUCUUGGGAUUAAAAUAACCCGAGAUGAAAGCACUAUAGCUUUAUCACAAUCACAUUACAUUGAAAAUGUGCUUAAAAAGUUUGAUCUUUUCAACUGUAUACCAGCAUCUACACCCAUGGAUCCUCAAUUAAAAUUAGUAUCUAAUGCUGGUAGGAAAAUUGAUCAAUUGAAAUAUGCAAGUCUAAUUGGUUGUCUUAUGUACAUAAUGACUUGUACAAGACCAGAUAUUGCAUAUGCUAUUGGAAAAUUGAGUAGAUACACAAGUAAUCCAAGUAGUUUGCAUUGUCAAGCUUUAAAUAGAGUACUUAGGUACUUAAAGAAAACUAUUAACUAUGGAUUGUGUUAUAAUGGAUAUCCUCCAGUUUUAGAAGGGUAUUCGGAUGCUAGUUGGAUUACAAGUUUGGAAGAUCAUGCAUCUACUAGUGGGUGGAUCUUCAUUCUUGGUGGAGGAGUCAUUUCUUGGGGUUCCAAGAAACAAACAUGUAUUACUGAUUCCACCAUGGCAGCAGAAUUUAUUGCAUUAGCCGCUGCAUCUAAAGAAGCAGAAUGGUUAAGAAAUUUGCUUUAUGAUGUACCUUUAUGGCUUAAGCCAAUUUCACCUAUUUCUAUCCGUUGUGAUAGUGAGGCUACUCUAGCAAAGGCAUAUAGCCAAGUAUAUAAUGGAAAGUCUAGACACAUUGGAUUAAGACAUAGUUAUGUCCGACAAUUAAUCUCUGAUGGAGUGAUCACUAUUAAUUAUGUGAGGUCAAGUGAAAAUUUGGCAGAUCCUUUGACAAAAAGUCUUGCUAGAGAUGCAGUAAAAAGGACCUCAAAAGGGAUGGGACUCAAGCCUAUUAAUUAGAGCCACCCAUUAUGGAAACUCGACUCAACGCUUGGUAUAACGUCAAGUCUUGAGUUCAAUGAGACAAAGUACAUCAUUAGUAUGUGACUGUUAGCACUAUAAAUAAAUCCAUCCUAAGAUUAAAGUGCUAGGUACCCGUAAUGAUAAGGGAAGGAUGAGUAAUGUACUCUUAAUGGACCCAUAACAUAAAUAUGUUAGAGUGUUAUAAUUACGGGAACACUUUUGAUGGGAUCUACCUAUGUGAGUGGAAGUGUGGCCGCUUCUAGGAGCUUAAGGGCUUGGCUCUGACAGCACUCAUGAAAAGAGGACAUAGACACAUGGCUAUAAUAGUGUCCCUAGAUACUAUGCAUUGACUGAUGUUGAAAUCAUUGUGUGAGAUAUGUUCAGUUAAUCAAAUGGAAUAGUUGGUUCAAAGCUUAGUCUACCAUACAAUUUCGAUUAACUUUAACAUGUUUUCACUAAGUGAAGGUUCAAUCGUAAGACACCUUUAUUUAUGCAAAUUGAUUUCCAAGAAUAUCAAAAUCUAAAUAUUUUGAAAAUGGGGGGAGAUUGUUGGAAUAUUUUCAAAUAUUUAUAGUAUCCCAAUAACUAUAAAUGAAUGGGUGUAAUUAAUCAAAAGAUAAAACUUUUGGUCAUUGGUCAAAAGUUAUAUCAUUUGAUUUUUUAAAAAAGAAUUAUAACUAUUCAAAAAAUAUUAUUUGAAUAGUUACAAAAUUAAAUGAAUAAUUAUUAUUAUUUAUUUAUUCAUAAAGACACCUAUUGAAAGAUGUCUCUAUGAAGAGACAUGAAAAUUCCUAUAAAUAGGAAUAGGAUUUCAUUUGGAAAUCAUAUCAACAAAUUCUAAUAUUAUUUCUUCUCUUCCUUCAUUUUCUAAUAUUAUUAUAUUAUUCUAUAAAGUAUUGCUGCAGAAAUCCUUUGUAGAAAUUGAGUUUUUGUUAUACAUUACUCAGUGCAUAGUGGACUAUUCUCGUCAGUGCAAAACACAAAUAGUCAUUGGCUUCAUUGUAUCCUCGAGGUUAAUUCGCUUGGAACUCGUUUGCACACUGAAGAUAAGUGGGGGCGAAUAUAACCUUAAAGAUAGUGGCUUGAUACACGCCUUGGAGCCUGUCCUAUUUCUUCUUUUUCUUUUCGAGUUCCGAUCGUGUGUUCAAGUUUUUUUCUUACCGGAGUUUUGUACUAACAGGUUUGACGGUCAUCUUGAAGCAUAUAUAAAAUUAAAUGAUUGAAUUAUUGAAAUCAUGAAAUAAAAUAAUUAUGAAAUCAGAAUUUAAGGUUAGAGGUUAUUUUUAGAAAUUUAACUUUUUAAUUAAUUAAUUUAGCACAAAUUUUAUACAAGUCAUGAACUUAAUUUCAUCAAAUUAUAUUAUCCAACUUUUACUGUUAAUAAAUUAAGCGGUAAAAAAAAACACAUGUCUUGAUAUAAAAUAUCAAAAUUGAUUAUAUUGAAGGUGGUACAAAUAAUUGCAAGAAAUUGUAAUUAUUAGGUAGUGAUUAUAACCUCUCAUAAUAAAUUUUGAAAAUAAUUAAUGUUAAUUAUUCACGUAAUUCUUCUAAUUUUCAAUUAUUUCCUUAAAAAUUAAAAAGUAACAAAAAUAUAUAUAUAAAUUAUAAUGGUUAAGAAAAUAUGUCAUAAAUAUGUAAUUAUAAGUAAUUACAUCAAAAUUUAAUUACUACUGCUUUCUAAACACCCCUAAAAUUUAAAUAUAAUCAUUUCUUUGUUUAAAUAUGCUAAAGAUUUCUAUACUCUUUUAAAAUUUAAAUUUUAGUCUCCAUGCUUUAAUUUUGAGACAUUGAGUUCUUAUAGUUUUUUAUUUAAAAAUCUUGGUUUCUCCAUCUAAUUUUGCCAUUAAAAUUAAUGGUGUCAACGGUAAAAUAAAUUUUUAACCCUCAACAUAUAUUGUGCAGAUCAUAGACUAAAUUGCUUUAUUAGUUUUCUAUUGUUAAUCUUAUUAUUAUUAUUAUUAUUAUUAUUAUUGUUAACACCACUUCCAUUUUAACAACACCAAUUUCUAACAAUUGCAGAAGAAUGUCUAGUCAUUCCACACAAAUUAACAACAAUUUGCAGCAUCCACUACAUUCAUAUGAAUUCCACACAAAUUAAGACUGCAAAUUCUAACUUGUUUAUACCCUCAAUGAAGUUACCUACUGCAGAUUUUGUAUUGCUUGGAAUGAAUUGACUGUCAUUUUCUACUACUUGCCACAAAAUUUUGUAUUGCUUUAAAUUCAAACAGGAAGAAGAAAACAUGAAAAGAUGAUGAGAUGAGCAUGAAGAUUGCUAUAAAUUUGAUCCACCAAUUAAUAAGCUAACUAAAGGAAAUAAGGACAUUUGAUCCACCAAUUAAUGUUUGAAUUCACUAUAGUACUAUGCUUUUUACUGUCAAAAUCUUGGAUGCAGAGAUUAUUGGGACUAAAAAAUGAGAGUCAUGAAAGAAGACAUAAAUAGUUGAACCAUACAAAAUGUUACAUUUAAAACAAACCCUUACAAAUACUACGUAAUGCAAUGAAAUAUAGAUGAAUUGUUACAAUAACAAAGACAGAUGCAUGGCAAUGCAACCUUUCACCAUAGGAAAAAAAUUGGACAGACUUCAAAACAAGAAAUUAUGAAGAUACUGUUGCGGAAGCGACGAUAAUAUUAAUAACAAUAUUAUCAGAAAUAUUUAGAUAAUUAUUAUGCCAACAAUUAUACUAAGAAAAUUCCCAGUUAAAUUGGAGGGGUCACAAAUGGUCCCGCUUAAAACCCAACAACUAGACAGAACUCACUUAGAUAUUUAUAGCAAUAAUAACUAAAUAAAUAUAACCAACAUAAAGCUAUUAAAUAUAAGCAAACAAAUAAGAAAUAAAAUACCAGAGAUUUAACGAGGUUCGGCCAAUUUAGCUUACGUCCUCGGACACUACCAAAUCAAUAUUUCUACUAGAAAUAUUACAAAGGAGAAGAUUUUUUGGGAUGAUACAACCAAAGGGGGAGGGGUUCUAUAUAUAACAAACCAAACCCCCUCCCUUUCUAUCUUUUCCUAAUGUGGGAUAUUGCCAAUAUUCAACAAAUCUCCACCUUGGCGAUAUUCCACAUCUUCGAACAUCUUCUCAUAACACUAACUUCAAUAGUGUCUUCAAAUUUGCAACCAAUCGCCUUCUUCCCUUUUGGUAGUUGUGCCAGCUUCCACGUCUUGUUUUUCUCUAGAGAUUGCAUUUCCUCUUCCAUUGCACCUAACCAUCUAUUAUUCUCUAAACUCUGAAUGGCUUUGGUGUAAGUGGAUGGAAUAUUAUCAACAACUGGAAGUGCAUAAGCUACCAUGUCAGUGAAACGAGCAGGUUUCUGAAUUUCUCGUCUCUGCCUUCUGACUGCAAUUGGCUCUGAUUGCUGUUGAGGUUCUUGGGUAGAAACCUCUUCCUCAUCUGACUCUGCAUCUGCCAAUGAAGAAUCACUAGUGGUACCUUCUGCUGGAAUUACCACACUCUGCUCAAACUCCACCUGCUGCGGAGUACACUCCACCUGCUGCGAAGUACUACUCACUCCUUCUGGAUUUACCUUAUUCAACAUGGCAGAUUCAUGAAAGGUAACAUCCCUACUGAUUAUCGUCUUCUUUGCCUCUAGACACCACAAACGAUAUCCCUUAACACCAGCAUUGAAGCCCAUGAAUAGAGCCUUCUUUGCUCUUGGAUCUAACUUUGAUUCUUUCACAUGAUAAUAUGCAAUAGAACCAAAAAUGCGCAAGGUGUCAUAAUCAGUAGCAGGUUUUCCAUACCAUUUUUCCAAAGGAGUCUUGCCAUUUAUAGCAGAUGAUGGCAAAUGAUUGAUGAGAUGUUGAGCGUACGUCACAGCCUCAGUCCAAAACUUUCUAUCUAAUCCAGCAUUAGAUAACAUACAUCGAACUUUCUCCACAAGCGUUCGAUUCAUUCGCUCUGCCACCCCAUUCUGUUGCGGUGUUCCACCUACGGUGAAGUGCCUUACUAUGCCACAAUCUUGGCAUAUCUUCAGGAAAGGAUCGCUUUUAUAUUCUCCACCGUUGUCUGAUCGGAGAACCUUAAUCUUCCUUCCUGUCUGAUUUUCAACUUUAGUUUUCCACUUAAGGAAAACUUCAAGCACCUCAUCUUUGUUCUUCAUAGGAAACACCCAAACUCGUCUGGAAAAAUCAUCAAUAAAGGUGACAAAAUAACGUCUUCCUCCAAGUGAUGGAGUCUUGGACGGUCCCCAUACAUCAGAAUGCACAUAAUCCAGAAUACCUUUAGUAUUGUGAAUCCCAGUGCCAAAUUUCACCCUUCGUUGUUUUCCCAGAACACAAUGCUCGCAAAAUUCAAGUUUGCAAGUCUUUGUACUUUUCAAUAAUCCUUGCUUGGCUAGAGUUUGCAAGGAUUUUUCACCAGCAUGGCCCAAACGCAUAUGCCACAGCUGUGUUGCCUCAGCGUCCUUCUUGGUACUCGAAAUUGCUGCUGCUGUUGUCCCGACCACUGUACUACCUUGGUAGUAAUACAGAUUGUUCUUUCUUAUGCCAUUCAACAUCACCAAUGCUCCUGAAGUUGCUUUAAGAACUCCAUCUCGUAUUGUCACAACUAGGCCUUUAGAUUCUAACGACCCCAAAGAGAUGAGAUUCUUCUUCAACUUUGGGACAUAUCGUACAUCCCGCAAAAUUCUAGUAGAUCCAUCAUGACUCCUCAGUUUAAUUGAACCUAUCCCGGCUAUUUUACAUGUGUUAUCAUUACCCAUGUAAACAACCCCUUCAUCUAGUUUUUGAAAUUCAAAGAACCAUUCCCGAAUGGGACACAUAUGAUAGGAACAACCAGAAUCCAUGAUCCACUCAUCUGCAUAUAAUGUUGAAGAUGUCAUACUAAGAGAAAAGUUUGACUCUGCUUCACUAUUGCAUUUUGCAACAUUUGCAUCUUGCGGAGUCUUCCCUUUUUUCUUCAAUUUUGGACAAUCUUUCUUCCAAUGUCCUUUUUCUUUGCAAAAGGAACAUUCAUCUUUGGCAACAGCUCGACCUUUGGACUUUCUUCUCUUCCCAUUAGACUGACUUUGCUGACGACCUCUUGUUACCAAUGCUUCCACUGCUGCUUCACCUGAACCUUUCAACUUAUCCUUUCGGCGUAAUUCAUAGCUAUACAAUGCAGCAGUUACUUCAUUGAAAGUUACUUCCGAUUUUCCAUGAAGUAGAGUAGUUUCAAGGUACUCAAACUCCUCAGGAAGCGAUCCCAACAACAUUAACGCCAAGUCUUCGUCUUCAAAAGUCACAUCCAAAUUCAACAAAUCAGCCACCAGCUGAUUAAAAUUGGUAAUGUGCUCGUUCAUCGUGGUACCAGGAACAUAAUUGAAACGAAACAGUCUUUUCAUCAUAUGCAACUUAUUUUGACUGUUCUUCUUCAAGAAUUUCUCCUCCAAUGCUUUCCACAAUUUACUUGCAGAAGUCUCUUUACUGAAUGUAUACUUCUGCUCUCUGGAAAGACAUGAUCGAAUUGUACCACAUGCCAAUCGGUUGAUGGUCUUCCAUUCUUUAUCAUCAACCCCUUCUGGUUUUUCUUCCUCAAUGGCAAUAUCUAGACCCUGUUGAAAGAGGGCAUCUAGAAGCUCACUUUGCCACAUGCCAAAAUGACCUGUUCCAUCAAAAAUUUCCACUACAAAUCUCGUAUUUGCAGUUCCAAUCCUCGGCAAAAUGUACGAAGUGGAAGUUGUUGAUAUGGAUGGUUUUUCUUCUGUCAUUUUUGCCAUAGCUUCUACUUAAUAGCCACCAAAUGCAGAAUACCCACAAGCUUUAGGAAAUGUUUCUGAUGUGUAAGAUCAGACUAAGCUGCAAACACAGAGCAUACUACAAAACCUUGGCUCUGAUACCAAUUGUUGCGGAAGCGACAAUAAUAUUAAUAACAAUAUUAUCAGAAAUAUUUAGAUAAUUAUUAUGCCAACAAUUAUACUAAGAAAAUUCCCAGUUAAAUUGGAGGGGUCACAAAUGGUCCCGCUUAAAACCCAACAACUAGACAGAACUCACUUAGAUAUUUAUAGCAAUAAUAACUAAAUAAAUAUAACCAACAUAAAGCUAUUAAAUAUAAGCAAACAAAUAAGAAAUAAAAUACCAGAGAUUUAACGAGGUUCGGCCAAUUUAGCUUACGUCCUCGGACACUACCAAAUUAAUAUUUCUUCUAGAAUAUUACAAAGGAGAAGAUUUUGGGAUGAUACAACCAAAGGGGGAGGGGUUCUAUAUAUAAAUAUCUAAGUGAGUUUUGUCUAGUUGUUGGGUUUUAAGCGGGACCAUUUGUGACCCCUCUAAUUUAACUGGGAAUUUUCUUAGUAUAAUUGUUGGCAUAAUAAUUAUCUAAAUAUUUCUGAUAAUAUUGUUAUUAAUAUUAUCGUCGCUUCCGCAACAAUUGGUAUCAGAGCCAAGGUUUUGUAGUAUGCUCUGUGUUUGCAGCUUAGUCUGAUCUUACACAUCAGAAACAUUUCUUAAAGCUUGUGGGUAUUCUGCAUUUGGUGGCUAUUAAGUAGAAGCUAUGGCAAAAAUGACAGAAGAAAAACCAUCCAUAUCAACAACUUCCACUUCGUACAUUUUGCCGAGGAUUGGAACUGCAAAUACGAGAUUUGUAGUGGAAAUUUUUGAUAUGGAUGGUUUUUCUUCUGUCAUUUUUGCCAUAGCUUCUACUUAAUAGCCACCAAAUGCAGAAUACCCACAAGCUUUAGGAAAUGUUUCUGAUGUGUAAGAUCAGACUAAGCUGCAAACACAGAGCAUACUACAAAACCUUGGCUCUGAUACCAAUUGUUGCGGAAGCGACGAUAAUAUUAAUAACAAUAUUAUCAGAAAUAUUUAGAUAAUUAUUAUGCCAACAAUUAUACUAAGAAAAUUCCCAGUUAAAUUGGAGGGGUCACAAAUGGUCCCGCUUAAAACCCAACAACUAGACAGAACUCACUUAGAUAUUUAUAGCAAUAAUAACUAAAUAAAUAUAACCAACAUAAAGCUAUUAAAUAUAAGCAAACAAAUAAGAAAUAAAAUACCAGAGAUUUAACGAGGUUCGGCCAAUUUAGCUUACGUCCUCGGACACUACCAAAUCAAUAUUUCUACUAGAAAUAUUACAAAGGAGAAGAUUUUUUGGGAUGAUACAACCAAAGGGGGAGGGGUUCUAUAUAUAACAAACCAAACCCCCUCCCUUUCUAUCUUUUCCUAAUGUGGGAUAUUGCCAAUAUUCAACAGAUACAACGUACACACUUGAACAUCAUUUCCACUAACUAGAUCCUUCUUCGUCCAUUGCUGCGACUGCCAUCCUUUCACUUUCUUCUUCGCUUCUUCUCAUGUUGGAUUUCAACCAAAUUCACCAACCAUUUCGGCUUACCAAUUUGGAAAACAACAUAUCCCACGACCAUUCCAAACACUACUCCGCAUCCAUAACCUAUCAACACCAAUUUCCAACCAAAAGAGAUGUUUGAUUUUGAACCAUCAUGCAUCAUUUACUUUGCAAACAAUUUCACAAGUAACCAAUCAUCAUCUUUAUUCAGUCCUACGUAUCAGUUGUAGUAGUUCAACCACUUCUUAUCAUUAAAACAUGCCAUACAUACACUAAGGGUAUUAAAAACAUCAAUCAAACCUAGAAAUAGGCCCAGUUGCAAAAUUUCUAAAACUGUUACAUAGGUAUUGAUACUGUCCUAGGGCUAUCCAUAUUUUUUUUAAGUGGUAUUGAUAUCACAUGGAAAAUCAAUACUAAACUAGCAUUCUAUCUCUCACCAAAUAUCAAAACAUAAAAAAUUAUUGGUACCUUUCGCAAGGUAUCAAUAAACUUACCCGAAGUAUUGAUUCCUGGGCUGAAGUAUCGAUACCAAAUACAUAUUUUGUUUCCCUGUACCUUCGAAAAUGCAAAGAUACCCUUUUUAGAAAAUAAAAUAUCGAUACCUCCACUACAGGCUAUAAAAUCUUAGCAUACUCCAACAUUAAAACCAUUCAAACUUAAUCCCAAACAACAUGCUUCAUUCACAUAGUUAAAGAACAGUGUAAUCGAAUGUUAAAUAUGUUACUCUGCAAUGCCGUUGUAAAUAUGACUGUUAAAUUUGUUGAUAGCUAUACUGGUUUGGCACAAAAUUAAGAAUACACAGGCAGGUUGAACUAUUCCAUGUAUGAACCUUUGCAACAUAAAUGCAGAUGGCACAAAGACGCAAACCAUACCUUAUGUUCUUGAAUUCUCAUCAUCACAUGCUUAUAAAUGCAACUCAAGCUUACCUAAUUGAAUCUUUUGGUAAUUCAAAAUGUAUUUUUUUUUGUAGUGAGCAGUACAAGGACAUUAGAUCCACCAAUUUCUGUUUGAAUUCAUUACGUCAUUCAGCUCUGCUAUGUACUAUUAUUUCCAAAAAUCUUGAAAGGAGACAUCCUCCAAUUUAAAGACAAGAAAUGAGAAAGAAUGGCAGUGAAUAAAUAAGGAAAAACCAUGUAUAUUCAGAACCACAAUAAAACAAAUAUUUUAUAUGUAUUUUCUCAAUCGUAUUAGUGAAAUGCUAUAAAUUUUGUAACAAUUUUUUACUAAAUAUAAAAUAUUAAAAUUAAUACAUAUGGUGAUAUUGGAUAUACAGAGAAGACCCAAGCAUGAAGUUUGAGCGGGUCCUUGUACUCUGCAAUCUUGUGGUAAAUCCUUGAACUACAUUUAUGAAUACUAAAAUAUUAAUUACCUCACUAAUUGAUGAAUCCUGAAAGUGCUCUUACGUUUUCUUAUAAAAGAACAAAGAUUACCUUGAAUAUUUGAAUUCAUUACAUCAUUGAGCUCUGCCAUGUUUUAUUACUAUGACCAUAUAACUUCAUCCUUUAAGCUUGUACAGCUAAUUGUCGAUUCACUUCACAUGCUCUUUUAUCCUUUCAUGGUCGGUCCAACUUAAUCUACAAGCAAUGAGGAAAUUCGGGGACAAUUACAGCACAAUUCCGCACAAAAUAACAACAAUUUGUAGUAUUGAUUACGUUGACUUGAGAAAUAGAGAGGAAAAAAAAACAUGCUUGUCUGUACCGUCAAUGAAGCUACCAUAUGAAUGCAUUCCAUGAAGCAUAAGCAAACAUAUGUACGAGUACCCAAUUUAAGUUCAACUUUAAGAUAGAUUAAUUAGUUUAUAUGUAGCAAUUUUACAGCUGAAAAUUUUCUGAACAUUAGAAUUGUCCAACAUAUCUACAAUGCUAUUUGUACAUUUUUUUAUCAGUAACUACUGCUAAAAUAAUUUCCUGUAAGGCGAGAUUACGGUUAAUUUAAAUUAGCUUAAGUUCGAUUUCUCAACAUGAAAAAAACAUAACAAAAUCCCUCUUAUAACGUGCCCUUCGCACAUUGAAGUAUUGACUAUGCUUAGUGGAAUAAUGUAGAGAUACAACCCCCAAUUGCAUCUUCAUUAAAGCCUACUUAUAGGAAAAUAGGGACAUGGGAUCCACCAAUUGUACCUUAGCUGCUGCCCUUAUUUCACGUCAAUGCAAGACUAUUGUUGUCAGACAAACUUAAUCAACAAACCGUGAGAAAAUUUCCGGUCGACAUUUACACCACAAUAUACAAUAAUAAAAAUUUUGCUCAUAAUGUUUACGCAAUUUGAUCAUAAUUCCAAAAAUUUAUAUAUUCUUUUAAUUUGAUGUAAUUCUAAAAAUUAUAAUAAAAAUGAAGUUCGAGCUAAGAAAAGCUCUUCUAAUAAGGUUCAAGUGACAAGGGGGAGUGCCCACUACUUUGGACACUACCCAUCACGGGAGGGUGAAAAUAAGAUUCACAGUUACUAGAGAGAUUGAAUCCCUUGCAGGAUCCAAGAAAUAUAAAGGCAAGGUUCUUGUUGUAGUAAAAUCUAGCAAGAAAAGAAAGAUUUUGUUGGACGAUUCCUCGCUUCUGAGACAAGUUCGAAUUCAUCAUCCAAGAGCGCACCUCUUUGUGUCAUGCUACAGCCUUAAACAAAGCAUCCUAAUGUUCUUGUUCUGCUGCAAAAAAGAACAAAAGGAUGAAACAAGUUGGGGUGCCAAAAUUUUUUUCUGAUGCAACUACAUCAACAAGAAAGCAGGAAGAAAGAAUCCUGGACUAGAAAAAGAAACUUUUCCUGGAUCCGGACUGCUCCAAUUCCAUAUCUUGUCCUUUCAUAACAAUUCCAAUGGAAUAGAUAUAGAAGGCACUACCUCUAUGGCCAUACACCCCCAUGUACGACACUGUACUACCGAUCUUCUCUAGAUUUAUGAUAGCCUUGAAGCUGUUGAUGUAUCUCACUGGUAGGGGUCCAGAAAAAUAAUUACUUGAGAGGUCAAAAUUUUGGAUUUUAGAGAAAAAAAGGGAUAGACUUGGAGCUAUGGUCAUGCAAGGAACCAUGCAUUUGAUUUAACUUUAGUACAAGAACUUAUAGCUGUGGAAGUGAUACAUGAUGGGAUGAAAUUUAUUAAAUUUCAAUCACCAACGCUGUCAAUUUUCAAGCUUGAGAAAUCAGCAGACUUGCGACGACUUGUUGUGUGGUAUCCUGGAAUUUUUGGGUUGAGAUUUCAAUGAAGUUGGAAGAUCUGUCUCUUAGCUUCGAAACGUAUUUUGAAUCACUCAAUUUUGAGUUCGGGAGCUCAAGUUAUGACCAUUUUAGUGAAGGCUGCGCAAGCAGAAUUUUUGAACGGGAUUAUGACGGGAAUUACAAAUUUCGGGCUUUUAAUUCGAGUUUAAAUCAUAUUUGGUUCGGUUGUAGGUUUAAUUUUUAUUAUAUAUGAGACCAAUAUUGUAUUAAUCAGCUCUUAUUAUUCUAUUAUUAGUUUGUUCUAAAUUUUUUUAUAAUUAUUAAGUAUUUUAAGUUAUUUAGGAGUUUUAUGUUAACAAGAAAGUUUAAUUUAAAACUAUUUUUUGUUUAGAUUAAAUUAGAGUUCUAGUAUACUUAAAAAUUUUAUUUAGAUUUAUUUAGCUAGACUAUAUAUAGGCCUUUUCAUUGUACACAAUUCAUUAUUAUUCUAUUUCUCUUAGAGUUAAUAAAUUCUCUCUAGAUUUUUCUUUUCAAGAAUUUCUCUUAAGUUUCUUUUAGAAGAGUUUUAACAAUCUUUUUAGAUUGUGGAGAUCAUCUUCAAACUUUUUUUUACCAAGAUUUCUAUCCUGGAGGGGAAAUUAGAGUUGUUUGAAAUGGGUUAUAGAUUCUUUGUGUUUGCAAGGCUUCUUAAGACUACAUGUCACGUUCUAUCUUUUUAUUUAUCUUGGAAGAGAAAUUAGAACUGCUUGAAGGGGGUUUUGGAUUCUUCGUGUUUCUAAAGCUUCUUAGGACUUCUAUACGUCACAUUCUAUCUUUCUAUUUAUUUUCUUUAUUCAUUUCCUUAUUGUUCUAAUAUUUGAUUUAUUUUUUUAUUCUAGUUAUUUAUUUUAAUUGUUUUAUCUGAUUUCGAUUUGAUUUCGUUUUAGGUUGUGUCAAAAUCUAAAUUUCUUUCCAAACGUGUAGAGCCCUAAGUCAAAUCCACGACUUUGACAAACUUUACGAUCCUCUUCUGUGUUCAUCCGUCUCAUUUUUUAUCAGGAAGACUUCCCAGCCAAUGAGGAAAUGUACCAUUGAUCUUGUUGUUACCAAGAUCUAGCUUAGCACUUUCAGUCCUUUACAAUUAAGGAUGGUGUCAAAGGCCCUUCUAACAGAUUUCCAUUUAAGUUGAAAUUACUCAAUUGGAAUCCCUUUGCAAAUGUUAGAGGAAUCGUCCCAUAAAACUUGUUCUUCUUCAGAUUCAUGAAUUCAAGGAUGUUGCUCAAAUCUCCAAAACAUUGCGAAAUUGUUCCACUCAAAUUAUUGUGGGACAAAUCAAGAAUUCGAAGAGAACUGGCAUUGCAUAUUAAAGAAGAGACCUCUCCAUUGAAACUAUUAUUUCAGAUCAGAAAGACUCCGAUCGUCGAAGCUGGAAUCAAAAGAUUUCCACUGAUCAAAUUGGAGCUUAAGUCAAGAAAUGCAAUAUUCUUCCAUUGAGUAGAUUGUCAAUUAAGAUUAAAGAUAUUAGAUUAGGAAAAGCAGCUACUUCAUCUGGAAUUGAACUUUCUAAUGAAUUUCUAGCUAUUUCCAAGUAUUCAAGUUGCGUUAGGUUUAAAAUUGACAAUGAAAUUUGUCCACUCAAUUCGUUCGAUGACAAGUCUAAAAAAUUCAAGGACACAAGAUUCCCCAUCGAGUCAGGCAAUAUCCUCCGCAAAUAUUUGCUUCUGAAAUAAUCAAGAACUCUAACGAUGAUAAAUUUGUGAUUGAGACAGAGAAUCUUUGAAAGAGAAUUACCUGAUAGAUCUAAGUACUUUAAGGCCUGUAGAUUAUCAACUGAAUUAAUGAAUUCGGUGGAGAAGGACAUCCACGACAGACCCAAAUGUUCAAGAUUGCUGCUCCGAUUGAACUUCAAAAGAUCAAGAUUCAGGUUUUGGUUGCCUCCCAAGUUGAGGAAAUUUAGGUUUGGCAAAUCAAAAAUGUUUUUUUGGGAAUUUUCCUUGCAAAUCACAACCAGAAAGACUGAGAGACCUUAGAGAAGAGGAUAGAUUCGUGAAGACAUGAGGAUUAAUAGAAGACAUGUUGAUUUCAUCCAAAAACAGAUGUCUGACCUCGGUCAGGUUGUGAACAAGUCCCUCGACAGCAUGUUUGUCAAUUGUUUGUCCAUCAGCCUAAUAGGAGAGAUUAAGUGAAACCAAUUUUGAUAGGUGGGAGACUUGGGAUGGGAUUUGUCCUACAAAACUUGUAUGAGAAAGGUUGAGAUAUACUAGGCUUGUAAAAAAAUUUAAAAUUUAAUCGGUUAGCAUUAAAUAUGUCAUUUUCUAUUAACUGCAAGAAAACUAUCCGGUAAACUGCAUCUUCCUCUUUAGAUGAAAUUUUGUAAAAAAAAAAAAAAUUGACAUUAUCACUUAUAUGGUCCUUCAAUUUUUUUUUUAAAAAGUCAUUUUAACUCUCUAUUUAAUUUUUCGCGUCUUUGAGCUUUUAAAUUUGCGUUAUUUAUCAAAUCAUCCCAAAAUGGAUGAAAAAGUUAACAUUUGUUAAUUCUAUUGACGAGACAUACAUAUCGAUAUCAAAUAAACAAUUAAUUGAUUUUUAAAUUUUAAAAAUUUUAAAAAUAAAACAUAUAUUAAAGUUUUCUAAGAAAUGAGGAAAUUGGAACCAUGUACAGAAGAAUGUCCAAUAAUAUAAACACAACAUUUUAGUUAUUUUCUACUGUCCAAUAAUGCCAUGUGUAUUAGUACAAACAUUCAUUAAACCUAAUUUAAUUUUAGCCAUUAAUUUAAUUUUUCAUCUUUAUUAGCCCUUAAACCUACAUUAUUUAUCAAAUAACCCUUAAACUUAUAUUGUUUAUCAGAUGAAAAAAUUAAUAUCUAUUAACUUUGCUAACGUGCAUACAUAUGCAACUUCUUAUUUAAAUCUAAAAAAUCUAAAAAUAAUUAAAUAUGUAUAAAUCUAAAAAUAUCUUAAAAUUAAAACUAAUUUUUUUUAAACUAAUGCAAAUUUUUAGUAUUUAAAAAAUCUUAAAAUUUUCAAAUUAAAUUCCAUUAGUUUUCCACCGUUGAAGAACACCUUCAAUCACAUCAACAAUUUCAUGCUGUUUUGCCUAGAAAUUGUUUUGCAAAUUUAUUUUGUUUUAUUUAUUUCUAAACCCAUAUUUCUUUGCUAUAACUCCAAUUAUUAGAUUGUUUAGGGUUUUGAGUAACUUUCGGUUUUAAAAUUUUAGAUUUUUUAAAUUUAAAUACGAAGUGCUCUUCUUCUUCUCCAAACCCACAAUUUUUUUCUGCCAAAUUUCAACUCAAGGUUUUACUUUCAACUAUAAAUAAAACAUAUAUUAUAUUUAUAAUAAUCUAAGAAGUGAAAUAAUUAGAAUUGACUUGGUCUUGCUUCCUUUAUAUGUAUGAAUGUGGAAAUUGGCAUAAUGCCAACUUAUUUUCCACGCAGAAGAAGAAAAUGGUGCUCUAUUCACUCCCUUUCCUAGCAAACAAGGCCACAUAUGACUUAGAUAGAUAUAUAUAUAUAUAUAUAUGGUCCCUAAGUGUGUAUAUAUUAAUAUAUUUUCAAGUAAACAAACUUAUGCCUUAAAAGUUGAAUAAUAGCAUCUAAGAAACAAAUUUUCCACCAGACUGGAAAUUUUGUAUUGCUUGGAAUGAAUUGACUCUCAUUUUCUAUUACUUGCUAGAAAUAGGGGAAAUUUCACAUCAAUGCAUUCACUUCACUAGGUCUUGCUUCCUAUCACUGUCAACCAAACUUGAUCGACUAGCAGUAAGGAAAUUUCAGUCAUUUGCAGCAUAAGAAUUCCACACCCUCAAAAUAAUUUGCAAUUUCAAAAAUAGAUUAAUAAGUGUGGUUCAAAUACCAAGACUAUAAUAUCUAUUCACUUCACUUGGUCUUUAUUACUCACACAGAAUGUAUCAUCAUCAUCAUUAUAUUACUCUUUUAUUGUUAUUUUUAUUUUUUUCUUGUUACUUUUAUUUGUUAUUAUUAUUAUUUUUUUAUACUUUCAUGUUUUCUUUUUCAUAUAUUCCACCUUUUAUUUGUUUAUUUCAUUCUUUUACCUAAUUAAUAUUAGAUUUUAUUAGUUGGUGCCAUUACUUAUUUGUUGUUUUUGAUAUAUCAUCGCUUCGUUAAUAUGCACCAUCAUUUUAUUAUUGUUGCAAUUACGUCACGAGCCGUUUUAAAUGUAUUCAUGCUUUUCUAUUAUGCCCCGAAUAAAUUAAAUAUCUACCAUUUUAAAUAUUACAUUAACUUUUAUGCGAUACAUAAAAAAAGAAUUUUUUUUUACCAAGGCAAAUGUUUGUUAUUUCAAAUUUAGAAAAAUCAUGUUCUAACUUACGGAAUAUGGUUGCCUUCUAAAAUUGAGAUAAUUGAAUAUAUUUUAAAAUAAACAAAAAUUUGUUUUUUUUUUUUUUACAUUUGUUCUCAUUUUCGGGAUUUAAGGCAUGGUGUCCUAACUUACGGAACGUGAUCCUUUUUCCCGAUUAAUUUAAAAUAAAUCUAUUUUUGUGAAAACAAAAUUUAAGUAAUAUUGAAACGAAGGACCGUAUUUUAAAAUCUCUUCAAAUUCUCAAUUUUUGACACUAAGACAUUAAUUAAUUAAUCAAUUAGGUACUAAUUUUGGGCGUUACGAGGGUGCUAAUAUUUCCUCGUACGUAACCGACUCUCGAACUUAUUUCCUGGAUUUUUGUAGACCAAAAAUUGUUGUUUUAGUAAAUCAAAUCUUUUAUUAAAACGAUUAAAUUACAAGGUGAUCCGAUCACACUAAUAAAAAGGAUUGGUGACGACUCCCAUUUUCGUUUUCAAAAUAAAAGUCGACCCUUUUCAAAAAUAGUUUCGACAAUGUGUAACAAGUAUUUUUAUUAAUCCAUUUGGAACAAGAUUUUGUUUCCUAAUGUUAAGAUUUGCUGGAGCAAAUAAAUUGAUUAAUGCUUUGAACUUUCCCAAACACUUUUUAUCAUUUUGUAUAAUUAGUAUAUUUGAAUAUAUUAGAUACAUCGUCUAAAACAAUGUCAAUAGUAAUUUUUUUAUAUUUUGUGGACCACAAGGGUACCAUAUAAAUAAUUUUAAAAAAAAGAUGGAGUGAUACAUUUACGUAGUGCUUAUGAAUAUAAUGUUGGAUUAAAAUCCUUAAUUAUGAGUACAUAUGUAUAAUGUUUGAUAUUACAAUUAUCUUAAUAAUUUUGUUUCUGUUUUUGUUGAUUGAUGAUUAUAAAAAUCAUUAUUUUUCUGAAGGCAUGCUUUGUUGUCAAUGACAGUACCUGCACCCUAAAAUAAUCACCAGCUUUAACAACUGCAAGAGUUGUCCUGCCUGACAUUUACUAAAAAAUCACCAGGGAGCACAUUGUCAGGAGAUCCUUGCUGGAAAAAACUUGGUAGGAUGGUUUUUUUGUGCAAACUUAGGAUUUCAAUUCUCAUCAAGGAACUUGCAAGCCAAUUAUUGUAGAAAUGUUUGUCCAAAUGAUAAACAUUUGGAAUCCUAACCACAGGGACUUUUGCAAGCCUAUUAAUUAGCUCCAGGAACUUUAGAUUCUACCUGUUCAAAACAUUUUUUCAAAGAAGGAAGCAUAGGUGAAAGGCGUCUAUUCUGGUUCAUCUCAUUGAAUACAUCAAAUGGAGGAUCAAUACGCUGAAAAAGGGACAAUGGAAAGAACUUUAGCCUACAACUUGAAUUUUAUAACUACUCCUAUGCCAACCAGCAAACCAUAACAGCAUACAUAAAAAAGAGGAUGCUGACUUACAGUUCCUUUCAUUUCACCAAAACCAAUCAAAUCCCUUGCAAUGUUGUUUGGAUCACAACAGCUCAUCUUUCAAUCCUAGAUGGCUCCGCCAAUUUUUUGAAAGCAUACAUGAACUGUUCAAGAAAUAAAUGGAUAAAACAACUACAGGAUAGAAGGCUAAAAAAUUACAAAGAGCAAUGACCUUAUUGUUAAAAUUCCAACGUCCAUUCCUUGGAAAGAUAUCUUCACCAUUGCCCACUCAAGAGAACUCAAAUAGCAGCAAGAUCUCGUAUAAAAUGUAACUCUCAACAACACACACAAAUGUUUGUUCUAUCAAGGAACAAUACACAGACAUAUUCACCUACCCUUGGUGCUGGCAGAAUAUGCCCAUUCACUUUGGUGAAAUUAGAGUUGAUAAUAACCCCACAAGAUUUCUGCACCAUAAUUACUGCGAAGUAAACCUGCACAUAAAUUUUCAUUCUUCACUAGAUACAUAUUGGAAAUUGGCCAACCAUGCUGCUGUUACAUUUUGUGGUUGAAGUGCAUGCAGCUUGAUGACAUGCUGGAGCACAUAUGGUUGCUGUAACAGCAAGGUUUCUCUUUAGUUUCUUUGUUGAUUAAACUAGUUGAAAAUGAACAAGUUGAUGACAACUUGAUGCAUUAGGUGUUGAAUGACUAGUUUAGGUGGCUUGUUUAUGUGUACAAGCAAUGUUUUAAUAGUCCCAAUGCUGAUUAGUGGGGUUAGUUGACUAUUUGAUGAUGUAUUUGACUAUAAAUGUAUGUUUUUUCUAGUUGAAUGAAUGAGCUGAAUAGGCUAUCAGCCAUAAGCUCCCUUGCUGCACAUUUGUGAGCAAGUAAAAAUACUUCUUGCACCUUGCUUCAUUGUUAUGCUCUCUGUUCUCUUCUUUUGCUGCUGCCAAAUGUUCCAACAAUACAGAAUCUAUUUUUGUAAGUAAAAAUUAGUUGUAUUCAUUGUUCACAUAAUUGAUCUUUUGUUGUGGAAGUAUUGUAUUUCCGGUAAUCCAUUAAGUAUUCAGUGUUUGAUAUAAUAGAUUUGCAUUUUAUUAUUGUAUUUUGUGAAAGGAUCCUUUAUCUAUUUUUUGUAACCUAUUUUGUUUUUUGCAUUUCUGAUUAGUUUACAUGAUGGCAUACUCAAUGAUCUCUUAAGUUAGUUAUGUUAGGCUCUUUAACCAUUGUUGUAGCUCACCGUACGUACUCCAUGCCCCCUUAUCCAUAUCUAGCUACUGACUAGUACACAACUAUCAUUGUUCUCACAUCACAUGUGGAUUGGUGGAUUUCUGAUAAUGGGUGUUGUUGCGCAUGCAGCCAUUUUUAUGGUAAGAGACAAUGAUUCAACUACUCUAUACAAUGAUUUAUUAGAUCGUGAUGUAAUCAUAUCACAUCUCAAUUGGGCAUUUAUAUUUCUUGACUUUGUAUAUUCAUAAUGAUACCAUGAUAGCCUUUUCCCCUCUUUUUUUUUGUUUUUUUUUUUUAUCUCUAGUCUCAAUUUUGGGCGUGACACAAUGAAAUUAGAAACUAAAUCUAUUUUUGUAAGUAAAAAUUAGUUUUAUUCAUUCUUCACAUAAUUGAUCCGGUAAUCCAUUCAGUGUUUGGUACAAUAGAUUUGCAUUAUAUAUAGGUUUGCCAAUGAGAUGGCAAGCAGACUGCUAGCUAGAAAUUCUUGCAUCUUUGAAUCACCAAUUCAAUUAAUAAGCUUAACUAAAGGAAAUAAGGACUUUACAUCCACCAAUUUUAGCAACCUAUAUGUACCCUUUUACAGUCUGCAUUGUUCCAUGUUUCAAUUCAUUCCAUCAUUCCUUCAACUCUGCUAUAUAUUAUUACCAUCUCCAGACAACCAAUCCUUUUACUGCUAACUUGUAAAGAAAUUAAGAAAAUACAGCAGAGAUCAUUGACACAUUUUGUUCUCCUUUCUCCUUUACUGAGCAGUAGCAAAGAUUGUCGAGACUAAAUUGAAAGUCAUGAAAGAAGACAUAAACAACACCACCAUACAAAAUGUUACACUCAAACAAACCGUUACAGAUAGUACGAAAUGCAAUGAAAGAGGAAUUGGUACAAUAAUAAAGACAGACACAUACCAAUGCAACCCUUCACCAUAGGCAAAACGGUCUACAGAACAAUAAAUUAUGAAAAUACAACACUAAUUCUUCAACAUCCUUUGCAGUAAUUAGAUCCUUUUUCGUCUAUAGCUUCAAUUGCCUUUCUUUGACUUUCUUCUUCGCCUCCUCUCUUGUUGGUUUUCAACCAAACUCACCAACCAUUUCGGCUUACCAGUUUGGAAAACAACAUAUCCCACGGACAUUCCGAACACCACUCCGCAUCCAUAACCUAUCAACACCACUUUCCAACCAAAAGCAAUGUUUGAUGUUGAGCCAUCUUUUUCAAGCACAUUUGGAGGUGCUGGCUCAAUGAUGUUGCAACCUUUCGAGACCGGAAACCCACAUAGUCCCUUAUUCCCUUCAUAUGAAUCAAUUCCAAAUGUGUUGAAUUGUUUUCCUUGAGGAAUCUGACCAUGGAGUUGAUUUUCAGAAACAUUGAAGGACGAAAGAAAUGGCAGAUCUGCCAAUCUAUUUGGAAUCGUCCCAGACAACCUGUUUGAAGAUAGGUCCAACCAUUCAAGACUUGUCAAAUUCCCUAUUGAGGUGGGGAUACCACCAUUAAGGUUAUUAUGGGAAAGGUUGAGCCCCUUUAGUAAGUUAAGCUUCCCAAUAACUUUUGGAAUCUCUCCUUCAAACUGAUUGUUUGAUAGAUCUAUGAUCAUCCACAUGGUGAAAAUUUUCACCAAUUCCCUAUCUUGUCCUUUCAUAACAAUUUCAAUGGAAUAGGUAUAAAAGUCACUACCUGUCGAAUCAUACACCCCCAUGUACGACAAUUUACUCCCAAUCUUCUCUAGAUUUAUGAUACCCUUGAAGCUGUUGAUGUAUCUCUCUGGUAGGGGUCCAGAAAAAUAAUUACUUGAGAGAUCAAAGAUUUGGAUUUUAGAGAAAAAAGGGCUAGACUUGGAGCUAUUGACACAUAAGGAACCAUGCAAAUGAUUUGACUUCAAUACAAGAACUUGCAAAUAUGGAAGACUUCCCAACCAAUGAGGAAAUGUAUCAUUGAUCUUGUUGUUACCAAGAUCUAGCACUUCCAGACCAUUACAAUUAAGGAUGGAUGGUGUCAAAGGCCCUUCUAACAGAUUUCCAUUUAAGUUGAAAUUACUCAAUUGGCAUCCCUCUGCAAAUGUUGGAGGAAUCGUCCCAUAGAACUUGUUCUUCUUCAGAUUCAAGAAUUUAAGGCUGUUGCUCAGAUUUCCAAAACAUUGCGGAAUUGUUCCACUCAAGUAAUUGUGGGACAAAUCAAGAAUUUGAAGAGCACUGGCAUUGCAUAUUAAAGAAGAGACCUCUCCAUUGAAACUAUUAUUUGAGAUCAGAAAGACAUUGAUCGUCGAUGCUGGAAUCGGAAGAUUUCCACUGAUCAAAUUGGAGCUUAAGUCAAGAAAUUCAAUAUUCUUCCAUGGAAAGUGCUCAACUUCUGUCAAAGAGUUGUGAGAUACGUUUAAGUAAGUCAAAGAGUCAUUCCCCACCUCUUGCAUCCACUGUGGAAUCUUGCCUUCAAUUUUGUUGCAAGAGAGGUCUAAGCUUUCCAAACUUUUAAGCCCUUUCAAAAAUUGGGGGAAUUCACUAAAAUUGCAAGAUGACAAAUGUAAGUCUGUAAGAUUAGGCAAUAUAUGAUUAACACUAGAAGUAGAAUUAGAUGUUAAGGAUAUGCGGAUAUAUGAAAGGUCAAGAUAUUCGAGAUUUGGAAGGCUUGAGAACAUGCGAAACUCUAUAACACCACUAAGAUUAUUUGAGGAUAAAACGAGGUGGGUAAGAUUGAGAACUUGGAAUAUUGAAGAUGGAAAAGGACCUUGGAGUUUAUUAUUGUUUAGAUAUAAAUGUUCUAGUGAUUUGGAUUGGAAUUCUUUGAUAUGCCCACUGAAUUGAUUUUGAGAGAGAAUUAUAACCUUUAAGGAGGGAGCAGUAUACAACCAUGACGGAAGUGUUCCAUUGAGUAAAUUGUCAGAUAAGCCUAAAUAUAUUAGAUUAGGAAAAGUGGUUACCUCAUCUGGAAUGGAUCCUUCUAAAGAAUUUUCAGAUAUUCCCAAGUAUUCCAGCUGGGUUAGGUUUAGAAUUGACAAUGGAAUUUGUCCACUCAAUUGGUUCCACGCCAACUCUAAAUAAGUGAGUUGCAAGAGGUUUCCCAGUGAUCUUGGAACCGUUCCUGAUAAGUUGGAAUUGGAGAGAUCUAAAAACUUCAAGGACACAAGAUUCCCCAUCGAAUCGGGCAAUCCUCCAAAAAUAUUUGCGCCUCUAAUAAUCAAGUACUCCAAAGAUGAUAAAUUUGUGAUUGAGACAGACAAUCCUUGAAAGAAAGAAUUUCCUGAUAGAUCUAAGUACUUUAAGGCCUGUAGAUUAUCAACUGAAUCAAUUAAUUCUGUAGAGAAGGACAUGGACGACAGAUCCAAAUGUUCAAGAUUGCUGCUCCGAUUGAACUUCAAGGGAUUAAGAUUGAGGUUUUGAUUGCCUCCCAAGUUGAGGAGAUUGAGGUUUGGGAAAUAAAAAAUGUUAUUUGGGAAUUUUCCUGGCAAAUCACAACCAGCAAGACUGAGAGACCUUAGAGAAGAGGAUAGAUUCAUGAAGACAUGAGCAUUAACAGAAGACAUGUCCAUUCCAUCCAAAAACAGAUGUCUGACCUCGGUUAGGUUGUGAACAAGUCCCUCCAGAGCAUGUUUGUCAAUUGUAAAUUGCUCAUACUUAUCAGUCCAAGAGGAGAGAUCGAGUGAAACCAAUUUUGGCAGGUGGGAGACUUGGGAUGGGACUUCUCCUACAAACCCUGUACGAGAAAGGUUGAGGUAGAAUAGGCUUGUAAACCGACCGAACUCGGAUGGCAUUUUGGAAAGAUUAAAAUGAUUGUAGGCAAGGUUGAGUUUUUGAAGGUGAGGAAGAAGGAAGAGAGUGGUAUUGGAAGGGAAGUUGCCAUAUAGCCAACUGCAACUCAAGUCAAGGGCAAUAACAUGAGCAUUUAGGUGGUCGCAAGUGACCCCAUCCCAUGAGCAGCAAUCUGUACCCUCCUUCCAUGAAUUUGUCUUGGGAUAAGAUUUAAGGCCAGUAAUAUAAUCGCAAGACAAAGAAGCAACCUUUUUUAUGGAAAAAGAGUCCUUAAACUGGAUUAGUGAAGAGCAGGAGUGAGAUUCUGAAGAAGAAAAAGAAGCAUAAAGAUGGGGAAAGAAGAGGAAUAGGCAGAGAAAGAGAUAGGGGGCCAUGUUAUGUUUGUAGAGGAAGAAGGAUAGGAAUGGUAUUUAUAGGCAACAAAUAAUACCACAACAUUGGUGUCUUUUACAUUGAAAAGCUAUGGAUAUUAGAUUUUCAAAGUUUUUGUAUUUUUCACAAUCAUCAGCAACCACUUGGUCUUGUUUUUACCAUACAUUUUUCGAUUUUUUUAUAGCAAAAUGUUGUAUAUCAUUUGAACUCCCUAAACAACUAAAAAAAUUAAGAUUGAGGAAGAAGACUGCUGGAAAUUUAAUCCAUCGAUUCUAUAAAAACGUGUAUACCUAUACAUAUAAUAAUCUCAUAAUUCAAAUCUAAAAUCUCAUUUGUUAUAAAUUAUGAUAAACUUAUUUGGGAAUAGCUAUUUUUCAUUAAUUAAAUUAUUUCUCUUUUAAUCAAGUAAAAAAUUAAAACUAAAAAGACAUUUAAAUAAUUUAAAUAUCAUUUAAAUUUACAAUCUGUGAUUUUAUAAUAGAAUAUGCAUUAAGGAUUUGCACACACACAGACAUGUUGUGAAGAUUGAGUGAAAUACUAGCUGUCCAAUUAAAUAUAAAAAAUGUCUUUGUUUUUCUGUUGGUAAUGAACAGGAGCCAAAUGUUGAAGUGGCUGGAACUUGUCUUGUAUUGCUUGCCUGCAGAUUUUGGUAUGUUUGAAAUGUAUGGAGAUGUGCCAAGUGGAACUAUUUUGGGGCUUAUCACUACCUCUGUGUCACACAACAGAACACAAAAUAAAAUAAUCAAAUCAGAUCUUUGAAUAUUGAAAUACCAAAAGUUAAAAGAGUACAUGCACUACAACCAAAAGUUUCGAUAUAUGAGGGUAGUGGGACAUGUAUGCUUGUGACCAAUUGGCUAGAAUUACAGGUCUGAAAUGUGGAGAACGUGUGGAUGUAAUUUUGCCCAUUUAUUACAAAUUGAUAAAACUGCAAUAUAAGUGCUUACUAUUUUAACUUUGUUACAAAUUAGUCCUUUUUUCUAAAAUUUAGGGAUUUAUAUAACUCAUUUUCAGAAAUUGACUCAAUUCUUUAAUAGUCAUUGUCGAAAACAUUAUAGAAUACCAAGCUUACGAAUUUGAAAGCAUUAUUGAAAACAAUUAUUAUUUUCAUAAAAUCAUUCAUCAAAUUUUUGUUUUCAAAUUUCAUACAUGAAAUUAACAAAUAAAGAUAGCUCUAAAUAGCAAAACCCAAUAUGUUUUAUCCAAAUUGAUAAAGAUGUUGAUGCAACAUUUUAGAUUGCGAAUUCCUUCAUCACAUUUGGAAUCCUAACCACAGGGACUUGCAAGCCUAUUACGAGUGCUAUGAUAAUCAAAUAAAAUUCAAUUCAAUUUUAAGUUCCAUAUAUAUAACACUUACAUGGCUACAAAAUGUGUGUGUGUGUGUAAGUGUCCUCAACCACAAACAAUCCAAAUUUGCACAGAAACCACCCAUUACAUAUAGGUUUGCCAAUGAGAUGGCAAGCAGACUGCUAGCUAGAAAUUCAUGCAUCUUUGAAUCACCAAUUCAAUUAAUAAGCUUAACUAAAGGAAAUAAGGACUUUACAUCCACCAAUUAAAGCAACCUAUAUGUACCCUUUUACAGUCUGCAUUGUUCCAUGUUUCAAUUCAUUACAUCAUUCCUUCAACUCUGCUAUAUAUUAUUACUUUCUCCAUAUAACCAAACCUUUUACUGCUAACUUGUAAAAAAAAUUAUGAAAAUACAACACAGAUCAUUGACACAUUUUGUUCUCCUUUCUCCUUUACUGAGCAGUAGCAAAGAUUAUCGAGACUAGAUUGAAAGUCAUGAAAGAAGACAUAAACAACAACACCAUACAAAAUGUUACACUCAAACAAACUAUUACAGAUAGUACGAAAUGCAAUGAAAGACAGAGGAAUUGGUACAAUAAUAAAGACAGACACGUAACAAUGCGACCCUUCACCAUAGGCAAAACGGUCUACAGAACAAGAAAUUAUGAAAAUACAACACUAAAUCUUGAACAUCGUUUGCAGUAAUUAGAUCCUUCUUCGUCUAUUGCUUCGAUUGCCUUUCUUUGCUUUUCUUCUUCGCCUCUUCUCUUGUUGGUUUUCAACCAAAUUCACCAACCAUUUCGGCUUACCAGUUUGGAAAACAACAUAUCCCACGGACAUUCCGAACACCACUCCGCAUCCAUAACCUAUCAACACCACUUUCCAACCAAAAGCAAUGUUUGAUUUUGAGCCAUCUUUUUCAAGCACAUUUGGAGGUGCUGGCUCAAUGAUGUUGCAACCUUUCGAGACCGGAAACCCACAUAGUCCCUUAUUCCCUUCAUAUGAAUCAUUUCCAAAUGUGUUGAAUUGUUUUCCUUGAGGAAUCUGACCAUGGAGUUGAUUUUCAGAAACAUUUAAGGACGAAAGAAAUGGCAGAUCUGCCAAUCUAUUUGGAAUCGUCCCAGACAACCUGUUUGAAGACAGGUCCAACCAUUCAAGAGUUGUCAAAUUCCCUAUUGAGGUGGGGAUACCACCAUUAAGGUUAUUAUGAGAAAGGUUGAGCCCUUUCAGUAAGUUAAGCUUCCCAAUAACCUUUGGAAUACCCCCUUCAAACUGAUUGUUUGAUAGAUCAAUGAUCAUCCACAUGGUAAAAAUUUUCACCAAUUCCAUAUAUUGUCCUUUCAUAACAAUUCCAAUGGAAUAGGUAUAGAAGCCACUACCUGUCGGAUCAUACACCCCCAUGUACGACAUUUUACUCCCAGCCUUCUCUAGAUUUAUGAUAGCCUUGAAGCUGUUGAUGUAUCUCACUGGUAGGGGUCCAGAAAAAUAAUUACUUGAGAGAUCAAAAAUUUGGAUUUUAGAGAAAAAAGGGCUAGACUUGGAGCUAUUGACACAUAAGGAACCAUGCAUAUGAUUUGACUUCAAUACAAGAACUUGUAGCUGUGGAAGACUUCCCAACCAAUGAGGAAAUGUAUCAUUGAUCUUGUUG